Pelobates cultripes (western spadefoot toad) is the source of this 64497-nucleotide non-coding RNA. Lineage: Eukaryota; Metazoa; Chordata; Amphibia; Anura; Pelobatidae. The record is from the annotation of a GenBank genome assembly.
CAUCACUUGGAAACAUGAGGUGGCUCCUGGGCAGCAGCUGGAGUAAAUUUGGGCAUGCUGGAAGGGGCACUUAUGACUGGAUGACAAGUGAGCCUGGAAUACCACUUGUAGACACAGAACUGCAGGUAGGUCCAUAUUAUGUUAUUAGUAGUAAGUAUAGUUAUCUUUAUUUAAGUGUUUUAAUAAUUUAUUUAAAUUAUUUUAGAAAAUGGGAACAGUAGGUUGUAUCGGUACCUGUGACUGCAUAAGAAUCUCAUUUACGUACACAAAUAAAUAAUAAUCAAUAGUAUAAAUAACUUCCAUAUCGAGGAUAUUUCUAGUAUGCAAACUGUGGGACUGGAUGUGAAUGAUUUUCUAAAAUAUUUCAAAACAUUAUUUUUCUUUUAAUUGUGUCAUUUCUAUUACCCAUUUCAUGCUGAUUUUAUUUUUCCUAUAUAUUUUCUGAGCUGGUGAAUACCAAUAGUCUUGCAUGAUAAAUCCAUCUAUUGCAGAUAGUCCUUCACUGCUUUUAUUUUUUUUGAAGGAUGAUCCAUUGGUCAUGCAUGUGGAUCAAUUUAUUAUGUGAUAUAGUUGUUAAAAGUUAAUAUUAUUGAGUCAGUUUGUUGUAUUCUUUUUCUGAUUUCUUUUUAAAUAAAUAUGAUAAUAAUAGUUUUAUGUAUCAUGCACUACUAGAACACAACACUAUUACUAAACACGAGUUUUCCUAAGGGUAAUCGGUCAAAUAUUUCCUAAAGAAAAGAACAGAUGAAAAAAAUACUAAUGAGUACUAUAUAAAUUUAACACCCGGAACUUGGUGUUACAACUUUUUCCUUAUUUUUUUUUUUUUCAUGUGCAUAUUGCAAAAUCUAAUCUUGCAAUUAUAUAUUUAUUGAAAUUAAAAUAAUAUGUGCCUUACUAUAGAAAUAUGUGGAUUUCAGAAACAAAUAUAUUAGCCACGCAGUUAUGAACAAUCUACUAGACUUAUUCAAACUGGAAUUUUGUACUGCAGUUUAUUAGUUCUAAGGUUCCAGUGAAUCUACCCAGCCUGUUAAAAGGGAACAUUUCUAACCAGCGGCUGGCUGUGAAUCAUAGGAUCGUAGUUGUAGAACAGCUGGAAGUAGCUUUUGGGAAGCCCUCGUCUUGCUGAUAUUUAAUUACAAUCUGUUCAGUCUGGUACAGGGUAAAAGCUUUAGUGUAUAGGCUGUAGAUAUGCAGAAAGAUUGAAACACUGGAUAAGUAGUGGUAUAUUGUCUUAUACGCAGCUGUCCAUGCCAUUAAUAUGGCUGAGAUAGGGUAGGUGACCAUAUUUGGAGUGCAUGGUAUUCUGUAUAUACCAAAGUUAUCAUCUAUCCAAAAUGUAAUGAUUUUGUGCAGUCUCUCUCACUCUAUUUUUUAUUUUUAUAUAUAUAUAUAUCUAUAUAUAUAUAUAGAUAUAUAUAUAUAUACAUACUGGAACUGAAGUAUCACAACUGGUUAGUUUAUUCUACAAUGAGUUAUAUCUAGCUGACCACAGACUUGGAUACUAUAGUCCAAAAUUCUAAAACUUUUCCAGUGCGGCCAUUUUAGAAUUUGUUUUUAAGUUAUUUUUUAACUCACUAUGACUCACUGUUUAGUGAUUUAAUUCCAACGUAUCUAAUAUCCUUGUGAAACCUAGUGUUAGCAGUGGAAGUUGAGGAAACAUAUGAUGGGCAGUAAAUAAGUAAAAAAAACAAAUUCUAAUUAGUGGGGUAAUAGCAAGGAGACAUCUGACUGCUAUUUUGGGGUCAAGAAGGAAUUUUUCCUAGUUUGUUGCAAAAUUAGAAGCGCUUCAAACUAGGUUUUUUGCCUUCUUUUGGAUCAACAGCAAAAACAUAUGUGAGGAAGGCUGAACUUGAUGGACGCAAGUCUCUUUUCAACUAUGUAAGUAAAUAAUAGUGAAUAAGUACAGUCAUAGAGUAAGGCUAGAGUGAAUGAUGGUGGUGCAGGUAUUAAACUAAUUGGGUAUUAAAGUGCAACAUGUAACUAAUUAUCAACACCAGGAAAAGAAAAACAUUAGAGAUAUCAGGGUAAAAAAAAAACCUUUGAAUUUUAAUAAUACAGAAAAAUUUUUGAACAGGGCUCAAGUCCUAAAAAAAAAAGUAUGCAAAAUUCUCAGGCUCUCCUUCCUUCAGUAAUUCAUCAAAUCCCUCUUUUAACCAUGCACCACCACAUUUAAAAUGAUGUUAAAGUGUUUUACCUCCUGAAAAUGACCCUUUAGUUCUCCUGAAUGUUGAAAUUAUAGACUUGGCCAGUCCUUGCAAACUGUCUCUUUACACUUUUGCUACAACAGGUGUAAUUAUAGUGCACACAAUGGAAUAUAUACAUGCAACCAUAAAUAAAAAACAUUUUUAUAGAUGAGAAUUUGGUAAUACUGCAGAGACAUCAAAGCAAUAUUAUAAAAAAGUAAACAUAGUAAAGUCAAUAAAAAAAUCUGAAUAAUUGUCUAUUAAACAUAAUUGAUUCUGUUCUAGAAAAUAAAGCAAUACUUAAUACCAAAAUAUUACCAAUGAUAAAUUAUUAAUAACAUUGAACGUACACAGAACAAUUACAUUUUAAACAUACCUAGAUCACUCGUGAUCGUACUGCUUGUUAUUGUCUAACUAAGCUCAGCCCUGGCAGUGCGUCAAUCUGUAAAACAUGUAAAAUGGUAAACAUGGUAUUAUAUAAAGAGUAUUUUGAAUGUAAAAGAUGCAUUUGAAAAAAAUAAUGCAGUGCAUUAGUUUUACUUGCUUCUCUACAAUAUGAAAAUGUCCCGUAUUCUGUAUGAAUGCACCUGUACUGUAUGCGGUUUUCCUCUCUUCAGAGGAAAAUGUGUGGAAACUGAGUUGCUUCUGAAAAUAAAAUAAUGGGCCUGAGGUCCUAUACUUCCCCGCUGUACUAAUGUCAUGGUUUUAAGUUCAAAGCAGGCAAACAACAGAAAUCACUUGGUAUCCACUGGUCGCAGUACUGUCAUAAAUUGUACUGACAGGUAGUGUAGGGUUCAUCUCUGAAUAUUGGGAUCAAGGCAAGCAUGAAGUCUGAAAAGAGGAGAAUGUUGGUAGGAUUUUGUACAUAAUGACAAUAAGUCACAUGCGGUAUCGAUUUUUGCUACAUAAAAAACUCUCUAUACUGCAUACUACCUGGAGCAUCCAGUGUUCUUUUUCCCAGCCCUUCAUUCCCACCAAUGGCUGUAUGUUACCCACAUGCUUAGGCAUGCGCAGCCUAUUGCAUUAGGGUGUGCACCCUAAAGCACAAACACACAUGCCGCGUGUAUAUGUAUGUCUGUGUAUAUAUAUUCCUAUAUAUAUACACAGACAUACAUACACUGCUGUGCGUGUGAGGGUGCUCUUAGUGUGCGUGUGUGUGUGUGAGAGAGUGCUGGUCGUGUGCUGUGAGGGUGCGGUGUGUGUGAGGGUGCUGUGUGUGUGAGGGUGCUGUGUGUGUUUGAUAGUGCUGGUAGUGUGUUGUGAGGGUGCUGUGUGUGUGUGUUUAAGGGUGCUGUGUGUGUGUGAGGGUGCUGUUAGUGUGAUGUGAGGGUGCUGUUAGUGUGCUGUGUGUGUGUGAGGGUGCUGUUACUGUGCUGUGUGAAAGGGUGCUGUUAAUGUGCUGUGUGUGAGGGUGUUGUGUGUGUGUAUUUGUUUGGAGUUAUUGUGUAUGGGGGGGGGCAGAUUAUCUUUUACCUGGGAGGGGGGAUCCUUGCUGCCAUCCCUGGUGGUCCUAGUGGUGAGUGAACGCUAGCAUGCAGGGCUCUCUCGCGAGAUCUUCCCACUGGCCCAUGGAGACACACAGCAGGGCCAGCACUCAGAUAGCGCCGGCUCUGCAUGGAGUCAUAGGGGAGAUCCUGUGAUCUCCCCUGCCAGCCUCGAUCCAUACGCGGGCCGCGGGGAUUAGGGUGUGCCCAGGCACACCCCAUGCGCACGUCUAUGCCCACAUGUAACAUUUGGCCUCAGGUCCAAAACAUCAAUAAUGUAAUACCCAUUCAAUGUGUUAUUUCUUCCCUAAAAUUUAGUCACUCCUUCUGUCUGAUCUUUGCCUCUUCUCUUCAGAUUAAUUCAUCACCCUCUUCUUUUUUCUACAUUCCACCUUGCAUCCUCCUCAUCGCAUUUAACCUAUACAUUCUACAUACAUUAUACUGUAUCUAUCUCCCUAAUCAUUACAGUCAUACAGAGACAUAAAGAUGCAAGCAUAUAGUGACAUACAUAACAAGACAUACAGAAACAUACAGGCAUGCAGAGACAUACAUACACAAGCAUGCAAAGACAAACGGACACAGUCAUACAGAGACAUACAGAACAAGUCAUGCAGAGACAUACACAGGGGUACAAAGCAGGGGUGGAUCCUGAUCUCAGGAGGGGCCCUGGUAGUGGGUUGUAGUGGGGUGAUAGGGGCUGUAAUUGAGGAGUUAGGGGCUCUAGUAGAGGACUACAGACUGAAGUAGGGGGGCAGGGGUUGUAGUUGAGGGUUAGUGGUGGGUAUGGGUUGUAAUUAGGGUGGUUAGGAAAUGUUUUGGGGGUCUCUAGUAGGGGGGUUAGGGGCUUAAGUAGGUUGAUGGCUGCAAUUAGGGGAGCCACGUUAUGGACACGCCGGCCCUGAGUGUUAGAACAGGAACAGGUUUUUAUCAUCCCCAUUUGUUUCUGCUCCUUCCUGUUCUAACAUCUUUACAAUGUCCUAGUACCAUAGCAUUUAUUGCACUUGACCCUCUGGCAUGGGCUUUAGCAAUAAAAACUAGAAGUUUUCACAUGCUCUAGAUAUCAGACUGAAUAAUCAAAGAAACACACUGGGCAUCAGCAAACCUUAAAGGAACACAGACAUCUAUUCCUGACCCUACAGUGUGAAAAACACAAUCUAGCCCCUCUUUCCCCCCUUAAAUAUAGGGGGUGGAGACACUGAAUAUCAGUGUUGCUGCCCCAGGAAGCACCUUUAGAAGCCAUAUGAGGAGUGGCCAGUGAAGGUAUCCAUAGGCUAUAAUGAAAACACUGCCUUUUCUCUGAAAAUACAGUGUUUACUGCAAAAAGCCUGAAGGGAAUGAUCAUACUCAACAGAACAAAUACAAUAAGCUGUAGUUGUUCAGGUGACUAUAGUGUCCGUGUGACUCUCCGCUGUCAAAAUACAAAAAUAAACAAAUGUUAUUUAGUAGAUAUACCCCUAAGAAAAACAUGCAUGCAUUUAGUUAUGCAUGCAUAAAGAUUAAAUGUCUGGAGUAUCCUUUUAUGAGCAUUAUAUUGGUUUUCCUUUUAAACCUCAUAUUCACACUGUGCCUUUCUAUACACAUUCAAACACAAAAAAAUAUUUCGUUUUGCUAACUACCCCAUUAGAGGAGGUCUUAACCUUGCAAUGAAAACAUUGCAGUUUCUCUAAACUUGCAACGUUUUCAGGUACAGGCUUACAGGAACAGUGUAGCUCAACCAAUGAUAUAUCAGUGUGAGCUGAGCGAUUUCCUUGACUCCAUCCAUAAACAUCCUUUUAUUGACAGUAUAGUAUUUCAAAGCCAUGAAAAAACUCAAAAAUAACUUAAUCUCAGUGAUGUUGUUUUGGGGGCUAAUUGCAUUUUGGUGUAUCGCACUAAUGCUUUUCUUCUCUGCUCAGUAUAGUGGCUGCAGUAUAGUGGCUAUAGUGGAAAUGAAUUAGGAUGGGGCCUGGGGAGCAACUUAGGUUAAGGUAAAAUUGAACUGUGGUACCCAGCACUUUAACUUGGACAUUCAAAUUAUGCCAUUUUACGUGUUUUUUUUUAUGAAUGCAUUUUGAUGAAACUUAAUAGUUUAGUAGCCUUAGAUAGUACAUAUAGAUAUAAAUAGUUUUUAGGAAUAUUUUAGUAUUGUUAUCUGCAUUUUGUUAUGCUGGGCCAAACAAAUUAUUACUCUUGUACAAUAAGGGAGCAAAAUGAUGUUAGUAAGCAUUAGGAAUACGUGUUUGUAUUCCCAAAGCUGUAUUGUUCCUUUAAAUGCUAACUAACAGAAUGAACAGAUUUAAAAGGUUUGCUUUGAUGGCGGUAAGCAUGGUUCUGCAAGCAACGCUUAUUUGAAGUCUCUUAAAAGUUUAUUAUGCAUAUUUUAUGUACUGUAAUUGAAAUAGGAGCAUACACAUUGCCAAAAGCCAUUAAAACUGAAAUGUCUGCCUUCAAAAUUUCAAAAUUUAUCUUUUAACUUUAAAAUACAUGAAAUUUCGAAGUGCAUUUACAAAAAUAUCCACAUAAGGCAGGAAUUUGCACUUUUACAGAAUGAAAUAGAGGAUGUACUCUUCAUACAUAAAGCACUUCAGCAAACUAUAUGCUUUAUGUGUUUAGAUUGUUACUUCAAAAGUCCCCAAAACUCACCAUGACAGUGGCAGUGGGAUAUGCAGAAUAAAUAACGGUUAACUCACUCCGGGAUAACAAAAAUAGCUGCUUUAUUGGGGCAAAAGCAGCAACGCUUUAACCAUACUGGUUCUUUAUCAAGCUCAGUGGCGGUGGGAUGGCCAGUACAUUUGACACUAACCGUUCUUCAACUAAAAUAUUAAUUUAGUGCCUAACCCAAUGCAUCAUAUAAUUUUUCCCUUAUAAUAUUAUGUGAAAUAGAAUUUCAAACACUUACCAUGCCCCUUGAGACAGGCCACACAUUCUCCACACAUUGGAUGAAAGGAUAAAAUGAAGCAGCCAUUUUAUAUUGAUGUUUAUGCAUGUAUUUACACUAAACAUUAAUAAUCUUGUUCUUUCUAAAAUAAAUACAGUUCUCAUAGCUUUCUGACUUAUUUUCCAGCAGUCAGUCUUCCAACAAUUAUAUAUGCAAAUUCACUUAUAAUUUACUGCAAAUGUUAUUUAUAUAUAAUGAACUAUAUGAACUGACUGUUUUGCAAUCCAGUUCCACAGUUAAAUCUGUUUUUUUUUUAGUUCAGCUGUAAAUUCAGAUCUGUCAAAGUGUAUGAAAUAUAGAACAUAUGGAGAUCAAGUAAGCAUGAUGCCAAUGAGUACAGAUUAACUUUGUAUAAUGAAAGGUUAUCAACGGCUAUGUUUAUGGGGAAAGAAACACGUUUUGUCAGGAAGGUAUGUCAUGCAAAAAAACAUUCGUCCUAACACACUUAAACAGAGACAAAUGUAUAGACAGACACAUAACAUGACAUAUAAAGCAGACAGAAACACAGACUAAAAUACAUAGAUGGAUGAACAGAGAUCGCUACACAUACAAUGGCAAACUGAUUCAGAAAUAGUGACAAUAUCACUAAUUGUGCUUUUUCAAUCUUUGUAACUUUAUUUUUUCUACAGUAUCAGUUACUGGACACAUAAUUGCUACAAUACCUAGACUCAACAAAUUAGUAAGGGUCUGGCGUGCCAGCACAACCCUAGCAUAAAUACCUCACAAUUUCUGAUUUGUUCAAUGAUUAUUCAUGUAUCUCUAUUAGGGUAUUUAACUUUAACUAAGUUAUAAUUGUGACAGGAAAAUCACCUGGUACCCAUGUGCUUUUAGAUUUUACAACUUAAAGGGAAACUAUAGUGGCAGGCCCCUCGCGUCCCUCAUGCCCUGCAAUGUCACUACUCAAUUAUCUGCCAUUUAGGAUAUUAAAGCCCUUUGUUUAUGUAGCUGCUUGUCACACCUACCUUGCAGUGGCCUACACAGUCUCCCUACACAUUUAUUGUUCAGAGAUGUGAAAUGUUUAAACUUCCUUUAUGUUGCAGUAUGCUUAAAGGAAUACUAUACGCACCAAAACAACUUUAUCUUAAUGAGGCAGUUUUGGUGUAUAGAUUAUGCCCCUGCAGUCUCACAGUUCAAUCCCCUCCAAUUUUGGAGUCAAAUCACUAUAUUUAUAUAGUUCUCAGUUCUAGUCACAAUUCCCUGCAUGUGACUUGCACAGCCUUCCUAAACAUUUUCUAAAAAAGGAAACUAUAUAUUCUAGGUUCCUAUAUUGCACAGUCUGUUUAAUCUAGAAUUUCUUAUCUCAAACUCUUUUAAUAGCCUGCUAGAGCCUGCAUGAGCCUACAGUAUGAGACUAAAGUUCACUUUACAGAGCAGGAGAUAAAACAUUCUAAAGCAAGUUAACAUCUGACUUAAAAUGUUUUAUUUUCAUGCAGGCUGUGUGAGUCAAAGCCAGAGGAGGUGUGGCUAGGGCUGUGUAAAAAGAAAUAAAAGUAAUUUAAUUUCCUGAAUAAACUCUAUCCCAUGGAUCCUUGGGCCCUUCUUCUCUCUAAACCUGUAGAGACCCUUACUAGAGCAGAAAACAAAAUGAGCGCCUGAAUAGCCCUGGCAACACGGAGAGCGAUCGCAGAAACCUGGUCCACAACCCGUAUUCCCACACAGACAACUAUCGCUAAAAAGAUACAGGACGGCCUGCACAUGGACAAACUCACCUCAUUAAUACACGACACACCCAAACAAUUUCAUAAAAUCUGGGACCCAUGGUUAGAAGGAGACACGUCCCUACCCUGGUAAGACUCACAUAAAUAGGGACCCAGAUACUAGUCAGACCCUAAACAAACCAACGGAUGCACAAACGACCACAUUGGACCACCCUCCUCCCCCCCUGGAAGGGGACACGUGCAGCGGCGAUUCCAAACCCCUAUACCACCCCUACACCCUCUCCCACCCCUAUACCACCCUACACCUAAGCUGAAUACCUUUCACCUAACCACCAUAGACCACAAACCAGGUCAACAGUCAAAGCACACCAUGAAGGAUGGACAGAGACAACUGAACAGGGACUAUGCCCCAGUCAACAGAUGUCCACAGGACCUCUCCAUGCCCACCAACCGGGGUGUACUCCCACACCACUUCACCCUUAGAAGACUUAGAGGCAAAACACACUCUAAACCACUGUCCCGCUGGGGGACAGCAACAUCCUCAAAAAUGCCUGACUGUGCACUGAAAAGCUGGUAUUGCAAAGGCAAAUGCAGAAUCGUGGUAAUUACCCUGCAUUAACCCUCCUCUUUUUUCUGUAUACGUGUUACAAUUCACAGUAAAUGCAAAAUAAAAUCUGUACGACAAAUAUUAAGGAAAAAAAAAAGGUUCCUACCAGACAAAUAUUAUAUGCACCGACCAAUUGGACAGGAACACUUAAUAUGUAUGUCGCACCAUAAAAUUGUACUGUUCUUUUGUUUCUCUUUUUAUCCUCAUUCAUGCUAACCAAUUAUUAUAAUUUUUUGUCAUAGACUUAUCAAUGCUGUUGGGGCAUGACGAGAAUAUGUAUUGUAUAUCCAUGCACUCUUAAAAUAAAGAAUAAUUUUAAAAAAAGUUAUUUAAUUUCUAGAUGGCAGAGAAUUGAGCAGUGAGUCAGCAUGGGGUAUGAUGUAUACACCAAAACUGCUUCAUUAAGCUAAAGUUGUUUUGAUAGUAUCCCUUUAAUUUAGAAUUUCUAAUUGUGGCAGUACUUAACUUAUCCGAGGGCCGGCCGGGGUCAUCUGCUCAAGCUGUGCGUGGCUCAAGCACUCCCGCCUCCACAGAAAUCCUUGUGGGUUUUUUCCAAGCAAAUGUUAAAGGCCGAAGGGAACUACAAUUUCGGCAACAGGGAACUCCUUGCCAUCAUCAUAGCACUCAAAGAGUAAAGGCAUCUCCUGUUACGUGUAUUUAUUAUUAUCUAGCUCACUUUGAGUGUAUUUUUUCUUGUUUUAUAUUUUUAUAUAAAUUACCUUUAAAUAAAAGUACUUUUUUAUUUUACCAACCUUUGCUGCUAUUCUGCUUGAACUACCGUAUCCGUGGUGGGGAUUGUACCACCCAAGCCCGAGGGAUAGAGCAGUCCACAUCUGCUCCAUCAAAUGUGAGUAAAUUUCUUAUCACUUUAAUUGUAUUCUGUGCCUUAUGGUAAACACUAUUUUGGUUUUUAUUUUUUCCUUUUUCACCAACAUUUCUGGAAGGAAAAGACCAUUAUCUAUACCUACAAGUGGGCACUACACUAUAACAUUCUAAGCCCAUAACCAAAGAGUUGCUUAUGUUUCCACCAUUUGAGUGACUGCAACAAGAACCACACUAUAGCCAUAGGCGGGGAUUGUUCCGCCCAGGCAUUCAAGUUAGAGCUACAAAUUUAGCUCCAGGAAAUUGUAAGUGUAUUUCUUUUGUUUUAUUCUAUUUAUUUGGACAGGGACAUACUACACUAUAUAUUUUCCAUUUUUUUCUUUUUCUCCCUGCUUUUAUAUAUAUAUUUUUAAGGACACGUUAGGCGCUGCAUCACUCCUUGUACUUUCAUCUCCUGGAGGGUUCGAAGGAUUCUGUUAUCAUUUUAACGAAUCAUAAGAAUCUUUCUUAUUUAAGCGAAGCUAAGAGGUUGUCUUCUAGACAGGCUAGGUGUUUUUAUCACACUUCAAUUUUGUAAUUACCUGUAGACCUGGUGACCGCAACACCAAAGCAGAUGCUCUGUCUGAGCAGUUUGAAAUAACUGUUAAAAAUUUGAUCUCACUCCUGUCAUACCGCCUGACAGGAUAAUUGCUGCUAUUUCUUCGUCUAUUCUACAAAUUAUACAAACCAAACAAAACAGGGCAUCAAAGGAAAAACCUGCUAUGUUGCUCUCACUGAAAGACAAGACAUGAUGUCACUCUAUCAUGAUUCUACGACAGCUGGGCAUCCUGGUAUCUCUAAAAUUGUAAUUGUAGUUUCACUGAACUUUUGGUGGCCCUCUAUGCGGAAGGACCACAAAUUACGUACAAGCAUGUGUCACUUGUGCCAGCAUGAAGUCCUCCCACAGGGUUUCUUGUGGGUUAUUACAACCUUUACCUAUACCAAAGACCUUGGUCUAAUCUGUCCAUGGAUUUUAUUGUUGACCUUCCUCCUUCCAAAGGUAAAACGGUCAUCCUAAUGAUCGUUGAUAAAUUAUCUAAGAUGACUCAUUUUGUGUCACUUGUUAAGUUACCUUCUUCCAAAGAUAUGGCCGGUAUAUUCACCAGGGAGGUGUUUAGAUUACAGUAUCUCACAAAAGUGAGUACACCCCUCACAUUUUUGUAAAUAUUUUAUUAUAUCUUUUCAUGUGACAACACUGAAGAAAUUACACUUUGCUACAAUGUAAAGUAAUAAGUGUACAGCCUGUAUAACAGUGUAAAUUUGUUGUCCCCUCAAAAUAACUCAACACACAGCCAUUAAUGUCUAAUGUCUGUCGCAUACUCGCACCUGAGGAAGGUGUUUCACUUGUGAGUGUAGCUGGCACAGAUCGACCACAUCCUCUCCUUGCAACAGGAGCUCCACCAACACCAGCAGCACCACAACCAGGGCCACGUCCCUUAUUUGACGCUCUCCUCAUUCUUUGCGUUCACCCACCAAACUAACAGAUGGUUUAUGUCAGGCGACAAUGUAACCGCCAAUAGUCAACAAUGUUUUAAUUUUUUUUAAAGUUAUUGGACUGCAAGAAAUGCACCGCAGGCUGCAAAUGUUCUAUUUAGCACCAAAGAAAUGUGAAUUAGUCAAACUGCAAUGUCACAGCAGUAUUUGACAGUUCUAUUUGACUCUCAGAUAUGAAGUGCAGGCCCGAAAAGGAACUAUUUAGCACCAAAGAAAUGUGAAUUAGUCAAACUGCAAUGUCACAGCACUAUUUGACGGUUCUAUUUGACUCUCAGAUAUGAAGUGCAGGCCACUAAUGUACUUUUUAGCACCAAAGAAAUGUAAAUUAGUCAAACUGCAAUGUCACAGCACUAUUUGACGGUUCUAUUUGACUCUCAGAUAUGAAGUGCAGGCCCCCAAUUUACUAUUUAGCACCUAAAGAAUUUGAUUUUUUAAAACUGCUAUGUCACAGCAGUAUUUGACGGUUCUAUUUGACUCUCAGAUAUGAAGUGCAUGCCCCAAAGGCACAAUUUAGCACCUAAAAAAUUUGAAUGUUUAAAAAUGCGCUGUAAGCACAGUAUUUGACGGUUCUAUUUGACUCUCAGAUAUGAUGUGCACCGCAGGCCGCAAAUGCACAGUAUUUAUUUGAUGGUUCUAUUUGAUUCUCAGAUAUGAAGUGCAGGCCCCAAAUUAACUUUUUAGAAGCUAAAGAAUUUGAAUUAGGCAAACUGCAAUGUCCCAGGUAUGCCUGCUUGACUGUAGGCAAGACACACUUGUCUUUGUACUCCUCACCUUGUUGCCGCCACACACACUUGACACCAUCUGAACCAAAUAAAUUUAUCUUGGUCUCAUCGGACCAAAGGACAUGGAUCCAGUAAUCCAUGUCCUUAGUCUGCUUGUCUUCAGUAAACUGUUUGCGGGCUUUCUUGUGCAUCAUCUUUAGAAGAGGCUUCCUUUUGGGACGACAGCCAUGCAGACCAAUUUGCAGUGUGCGGCGUAUGGUCUGAGCACUGACAGGCUGGCCCCCCACCCCUUCAACCUCUGCAGCAAUGCUGGCAGCACUCAUACAUCUAUUUCCCAAAGACAACCGCUGUAUAUGACGCCGAGCAUGUGCACUCAACUUCUUUGUUUGACCAUGGCGAGGCCUGUUCUGAGUGGAACCUGUCCUGUGAAACCGCAGUAUGGUCUUGCCCAACGUGCUGCAGCUCAGUUUAAGGGUCUUGGCAAUCUUCUUAUAGCCUAGGCCAUCUUUAUGUAGAGCAUCAAUUCUUUUUUUUCAGAUCCUCAGAUCAGUUCUUUGCCAUGAGGGGCCAUGUUGAACUUCCAGUGAACAGCGAUAACACCAAAUUUAACACACCUGCUCCCCAUUCACACCUGAGACCUUGUAAAACUAACACGUCACAUGACACCGGGGAGGAAAAAUUGCUAAUUUGGCCCAUGGCCAUCUGUCGUUCACCUCACCCCCUUGCAAAUCAGCCAAGCAGUCUGAGCCACAAGUCAUGCAGCAGUCUCUUAUGCUUUUUGAUGACUCUGCUGGCAGGGUUUCCGUGGGCCAUCCACCUAGCCCAGCCGCAGGAGUGGAAGAGAUUGAGUGCACUGAUGCACAACCACUUCUGUGUCAGGAUGUGGAUAAGCGAGGACCACCGACGAAACACAGGUGCCAACUGCUGUGGCUUCCUGCAGUGUGCAGACCAGCAAGGAGGGCAGGGUUGAGGAGUGGGUGGAAGAUGAUGUGGAGGAUGAUGAGGUCCUAGACCCCACAUGGAAUCAAGGUCAUGCAAGUGACGUGUCCAGUUUGGAGGAAGAGGCACAGAGGCACCAGCACAGCAUUAGAGGGAGCAGGGUGCAAAAGCGGAGUGGCCGUCCCCUAGACAGUACGCCUGCUACUGCCCACCGCAUCCAGGGACCGAGCACACCAAAACCAGCUCCAAGGAGUUCCCUGGCGUGGCAGUUCUUCAGAAAAUGUGCUGACAACAAGACAUAAAUGGUUUGCACGCUGUGCGAUCAGAGCCUGAAGCGAGGCAUAAACGUGCUAAACCUGAGCACAACCUGCAUGACCAGGUAUCUACAUGCAAAUUACAAGCUGCACCUCAAAAAUCAAGAAAUGUCUCAGGCUCCUCCUGGUUCCUCUUCUGCUGCUGUCUAGGCCUCUUCCUCCACCUCUGGAGUCACAGUGGCACCUGCCACCUCGCAGAGGAUGUGGCAGCAACAACACCACGUCCGCCACCGUUCCCAAGCAUCUCCACACUGUCCCAUGGAAGCAUUCAGCUGUCCAUCUCCCAAUCACUGGAGAGAAAGAGGAAGUACGCCCCUACCCACCUGCUAUCCCUGGCCCUCAAUGCCAGCAUUUCAAAAUUCGUGGCCUUUGAGAUGCUGUCAUUCCAUCUGGUGGAGACGGACAGUUUUAAAAACCUGAUGGCGGUGGCUGUCUCACAGUACGUGGUUCCCAGCCGCCACUACUUUUCCAGGCGAGCCAUCCCUUCCCUGCACAACCAAUUGGCAGACAAAACCAUCUGUGACAAGGUCCACAUAACCACAGAUACGUGGACCAGUAAGCAUGGGCAGGGACGCUAUAUCUCCCUAACUGCACACUGGGCAAAUGUAGUGCCGGCUGGGCCUGAGGCGGAUAGCAGUUUGGCGCAUGUCCUUCCGCCACCGACGAUUGCAGGGCAUUUCUCUUUGCCUCCUGUUGCCUCCUCCUGUUGCCUCCUCCUCCUACUCCGCUUCCUCCUCCUCUACCACCUCCUCAUCCGGUCAGUGUAACACCUUCACCACCAACUUCAGCACAUCCAGGGUGAAACGACAGCAGGCUGUUUUAAAACUCAUGUGUUUGGGGUAAAAACCCCACACUGCGCAGGUGCUGUGGACGGGCAUGGAACAACAGACCAAUGAGUGGUUGUUGCCACUGUGCUUCAAGCCCGGCCUUCAAGUGCGAUAAUGGGCGAAAUCUUGUAGCAGCUCUGGGCCUAGCUGGUUUGACGCAUAUCCCUUGCCUGACGCAUGUGCUGAAUUUGGUGGUGCAGAAAUUCCUGAAAAACUACCCAGAUAUAUCAGAGCUGCUGCAGAAAGUGCGGGCCGUUUGUGCGUGCUUUCAGCGUUCUCACCCUGCUGCUGCUCGCCUGCGCUGAUUACUGGGUGGCCACCCUGCUGGAUCCCCAUUACAAAGACAACGUGCCAUCCUUAAUUCCCUCACUGGAGCGUGACCGUAAGAUGCGUGACUACCAGCACACGCUGGUAGACGCGCUGCUGAGGACAUUCCCAACUGACACCGGGGGCUCAAUGGAAGCACAAGGCGAAGGCAGAGGAGGAGGAAGAGGUUGCCAACGCAGCUGGGGCACCGCCAGCACCUCAGAAGGCAUGGUUAGCAUGGCCGAAAUGUGGAAAAACUUUGUCAGCACGCCACAACAACCAGCACCACCAUCUGAUAUGAAACAUCUUAGCAGGAGGCAGCAUUUCAGGAACAUGGUGGAACAGUACAUGUGCACACGCCUACACGUACUGACUGAUGGGUCUGCCCCAUUCAACUUCUGGGUCUCCAAAUUGGGCACAUGGCCUGAGCUUGCCAUUUAUGCCUUGGAGGUGCUGGCCUGCCCUGCAGCCAGUGUAUUGUCUGAACGUGUGUUUAGCACGGCAGGAGGCGUUAUCACAGACAAGCGCAGCCGCCUGUCCACAGCCAACGUGGACAAGCUCACGUUUAUUAAAAUGAACCAGGCAUGGAUCCCACCAGACUUGUCUGUACCUUAUGCAGAAAUGACAUUUAUACCGGCCUCACCCAGCCAUUGUUAUACUCAAGUGCACUUAUUCUUUCUUUUUUUAUAUAUCUCAAUAUUUGGGGGGCUAGCCCAAUAAAAAAAAAAAAAAAAUACAAAAAAACGAAAACAAAAAAAAAACAGUGUUGGCUACCUCCUCCUCCUCCACCGCCGCUUCCACCUACACCGCCACGGUCACCGCCUCCUCAACCUAUGGGUCACUUAGUAUAAACUAUGUACACAAUAGCAGAGGCUUGUGAAAGCCUUUUCUGCAUGCAUCAGGAGUUGAACAACAGUUUGAACAAUGAAAGAGAAUACCCUGCACUCCAACCCUCUCUCAAAUGGAUAAUUCUGGUGAUCCUCCUGACAGCCAUGCUUUAGAUUUUGAUUUAUGUUCUUCCAAAGCUAAAAUCAAAGAUGUCAUCUAAUGCUAUUUUAUGGCUCAGCUGUAUUUUUAUUUUUUAUGUAUUUUAUGUUAUUUUAAGUGAUUUCCCUAUGUCCUUUUACAGCCCUCUAGCCCUUUCCAGGACUUUUUUAGAGGCAUUUUAGUGCCCAAAAGUUGUAGAAUAUAUAUAUAUUUGUAGUUGGGGACAAUAGGCCGAGUUUAUAGUAGUGGUAUAAGUCGGUUGUGUUGUGUCAAAACCAACAUUUGUGUAGGCCUGUAAAAGAGGGCCCACUUAGUGAAUGCUUAAUAAAGAGUGUGGUGGGUGGGCUGAACCAGGAAGUCUCAGCCCACAGGAAGGGGAGACCUGUGAAUUUAUAGGCUGGAUAAACCCCUCCCACAACUACACACUCCGCCUUUCCAUUUGUAGUCGGCAGGGUCGUCUCUAAAGCGGGGCAAACGGGGCAGCUGCCCCGGGCCCAGUUACUCCUGGGGGGCCCAAAGUAGCUACCCUGUAGGCCCCGCUGUCCGCCCCCAAUUUUUUUUUUUGCCGCAUGGGCCCGCCGGUGCUGCAGCUGCACUUGGAGCCCACACACUGAGAGGGCCCAGUCGAGCGCUGUGGCCCUUUAAGAGCACGACCGGGCCCUCUUGUUUUACGGCAGCAGGCUGGGAGAAAGUGACUGCCAUGAGUCACUUCCUCCCAGAUAGAGUGUAGCCGCACAGGAUGGAGGAAAAGGCAGUCAGGAGGGAGCUGUCAGAGCCCAACUCUACCGCAGCAUGCCACUGGACCCAGGGAACCACCCUCCUGAACCCAUAAGGUAGGGCUGGAGGGUGGCUUUAUAAAUGUAAACUUUGUGUGUGUGUGUGUCAGUAUUUGUGUGAGUCAGUAUGUAUGUGUGUGAUGUAACGGAACUCCCCGUACUCCGACCGAGUACCUUCCAUUGAUGGACGCUUCCUAGCUUGCGCCGAGUACCACAAGCACCGCACCGAACACCACAACCACUGCAGACUCCACAACUGCCGUAGCUUAACUGGAGUCUCGCCAUCUUCCUUCCACCCUGGAUCAGCCUCUGUCCUCCAGGACCGUGUGGUGAAGACCUCUCCUCCAGGAGAGCGUAUCAGGAACAAGCUCUUAAAAGAGCUUUAAGUGAUUAAAGCUCAGGGGAGUAUGCAGAGCAUAGCAAUCCCCAGUGUGAGUAUAGCUGUCCCCUCCAAUCACGAGACAAGACUACGUGAUUAAAGCUCAGGGGAGUAUGCAGAGCAUAGCAAUCCCCAGUGUGAGUAUAGCUGUCCCCUCCAAUCACGAGACAAGACUACGUGUUGAGGGUCAAGAAGAACUGACUGUACUGGCACAUACAGCCUCUUUUAUUCACAUUCUACAAACAUAGUACUGCCCACAGGGUUUUGAAGAACAACCAAUCAACACAUUACAACACAGCUAACACUCCCAUUCAUUACAUCAGAAAUCUUCCCCUCUGCCUGUGAUACAAUUAUCUCAACACAAUAGACUAACUUAAUUAUCACAGGCAGGAAAAUACAGUAAUAUAAAGCAUAUCACAGGGACCCCAAAACAUGCAAUAACCCCAAAAAUAUAUCCUCAGAAACCGGGGGAUCUGGGUGAACCACAUAUCCAAAAUGCACCCAGAUCUGUUCUUUGGAAGAUACGGUUUAAUGCAGAUUCCGCAGACCAUAUACAGGCUAUAUGAAAAAUAAUUAAUGUUAAAUGUGUCCCCUGUUCUAUAGUUUAAAACUUCUGAACAAUGUCUUUGUUUACCAAAUACCGGCGAGAUGGCACCGUGUAGAAAAGUCAAAACAGUGUCUGUGAGUUAAAAUGGCCGCCAUCCAUUUUUCUCACCAUGUGCUUCAUCCAUUGUUCUCACCAUGUGCCUCUGAUACAUGAAAUGGUGGCCACCCCGUAACUCCACAGUUUGUCUGAUAGUCUAUCCAGCCGAACCAACAGAUGAAACACAUGGGGAACAGUGCAACAAACGAAGGGAAUCAUAAAAAAUAUGGACAAUAGUCAUAUUUGUGCACAAUCUCCAGUUUUGUCACAGGGCACAAAUAGUGUUUUCAAAUGCCAUAUAUCCCAGUGCCAUAGUCAUGUGGCAGGAGGCUAGUAAUCAGUCCUCUCCAAUGCCCAGUGGCAAAUGGCAGUUUGUCACAGUAUGUCUGUCAGGAUGUCUGUGUCACCAUUUCUGUGUGUAUGUCUGUGUGUGUGUGCAUCAGUAUGUCUGUGUGUGUGUCAGAAUGUCUGUCAGUCAUGGCAGUAUGUCUGUCAGUGUGGCAGUAUGUCUGUCAGGUUGUCUCUGUGUGUCAGUAUGUCUGUGUGUCAGUAUGUCUGUCAGGGCAUAUGUGUGUGUAUCACUAUGUCUGUAUGUAUGUCUGUGUGUGUGUAAGUAUGUCUGUGUGUGUGUCAGUAUGACUUUCAGGGUGUCUGUAGGUGUCAGUAUGUCAGUCUAUGUGUGUCAAUAUGUCUGUCAGGGUGUAUGUGUGUGUGUCAGUAUGCCACUGUGUGUGGCAGUAUGUCUGUGUGUGUGGCAGUAUGUCUGUCAGGACGUAUGUGGGUGUGUCAGUCUGUCUGUGUGUGUGUCAAUAUGUCUGUCAUUGUGGCAGUAUGUCUGUCAGGGUGUCUGUGUGUGUCAGUAUGUCUGUCAGGGCAUAUGUGUGUGUGUCACUAAGUCUGUGUGUCAGUAUGUCUUUGUGUGUGUCAGUAUGUCUGUCUAUGCAUGUCAGUUUGUCUGUCAGUGUGCGUCUCAGUUGGUCAGUGUGUAUGUCAGUAUGUCAGUAUGUCUGUUAGUGUGUAAAAAUGUAAACUUUGCAUGUGUGUCAGUAUGUAUGUGUGUGUAUCAGUAUUUCUGUGUGUCAGUAUGUCUGUGUAUGUCUUAGUAUGUCUUUGUGUGUCUUAGUAUGCGUGUGUAUGUGUGUGAGUAUGUAUGUCAGGGUAUCUGUGUGUGUGUGUGUGUAUCAGUAUGUCUGUCAGUGUGUGUCACUAUGUCAGUAUGUCUGUCAGUGUGUAUCUCUAUGUUGUCAGUAUGUAUAUCUGUGUGUGUGUGUGUCAGUGUGUAUAUCUGUGUAUCUGUAUUUAGUAUAUCUAUGUUUCUCUAUGUGGUCUGUGUGUAUCUGUAUCUGCAUGUGUGUCAGGUUGUGUAUCUGCGUGUCUCUAUGUGUAUCAGUGUGUGUAUCAGUAUGUUAUCAUUGUAUGUAUUUGUGUAUCUGUAUGUUGUCAGUGUGUGUACCUGCGUGUGUAUAUCUGUGUGUGCAUCUGUAUAUAGCCAAUGUUUUUAUCUGUGUAUCUGCAUGUGUGUCAGUAUAUGCAUCAGUGUGUCUGAGUAUCCAUAUGUGUCCGUGUUUGUAUAUAUGUCUCUCUGUGUGUCAGGUUGUGUAUCUGUGUGUCCGUAUGUGUUGGUGUGUGUAUCUGUGUCAGUCUGUAUCUGCAUGUGUGUCAGUGUGAGUGUCAGUGUUUAUAUCUGUGUAUCUGCAUGUGUUUCAGUGUGUGUGUGUAUCUGUGUGUGUUACAUCUCAUCAUUCAAAUUGUCAACACUACACACAAGUACACCCCUGCAUUUAACCUUCAACACUACAUACAAACACAGUCCUACAUUGAAACGUCAAGAAUACAUACAAACACACCUUUGUGUUAAACACCAAAAAUAUAUAUACACAUCCCAGCAUUAAAAAAAAACCAAGACAUAGAUGCAUGCUUGCAUUCAAACACCACAGAGAAGCACACCCCUACAUUUACACAAACAUACUCCAUACAAAAACAUGCUUCCAUUCAAACACACAAACACAGCUCAGUGCUAAAUACAACUCUGCAAGCAUGGGGAAAUGGUUUCGCUACUGCGUUGGGAAGUGGAGAGUGUGAUUGCAUGUCAGGGAAUAGGGGUCAGGCCGGGCCGGCACUACCUGUAAGGCAACCUAGGCAGCUGCCUAGGGCGCAACUUAGCAGGGGGCGCCGGAUCCCUGCACCAGGAAUCACCGGUGCGGCUUUCUGUUCGUUAAUUGUUGUGAGCACUGUUAAAAACAGUCUCCAGAGAGCCUCUUCCACACUAGGCCUGUGGAGCCAGACAGAGCCCAUAAUCAGCUUCUUGUCCUCAUCUGGUGGUAAGUAGGCAAUCCAAUAUAUUAUUAGUGGCACUAAUUUCUAAUUUACCUCACAUUAAAUGGAUACUAUAGUCACCAGAAGCACUACAGCAUAAUGUAGGGGUUCUGGUGUCUAUAGCCUGUGCCUGUAGGCUUUUUAAUGUAAACACACCGUCUUUUCAGAUAAAAGACACUUUGUGAAGACUGGCGUUGGCCCAUAUGGCAGAGCAUAUGGGCGGGGCAUUGUGAUGUCUCAUGGUGGGCAGGACAUAUGGGGGGGGGCAAAUAUUUUUUUGCCUAGGGCGGCAAAAAUCCUUGCACCAGCCCUGGGGUCAGGGGGUCCCCAUGAAAUGCUUGCCCAGGGCCCAAUCAAUAUUAAAGAUGGCCCUGGUAGUCGGGGACAAUAAGCAGAGUUAUAGUAGUGGCAUAAGUCGGUUGUGGUGUGCUGAAACCGACGUUCGGGUAGGCCUGUAAAAGAGGGCAAAAAGUUAACCAUUUAAUCCUUAGUACGUGUUGGCAUUACAUAACCAGUACUUUAAAUGCCUGUCUCAGUUCCCUCUCCGUUUGAGGGAUAUCUGGUGUAUUCAGAUGAUUCCAAUGUCUCAGUUUAUAAUGUGUGCUAGGAUGUUUACUAAACGCUGCAGAAGCAGUGCUUAUUCUAAAAGAAUGACCUGAAUAUGUUGAAAGGUCGUAUCAGAGUUUUAUGAAUUGUGUCCUGACGUACAGGAUGAAUUUGAUGUAGUGAGUGGUUACCGUGUAACCUUAAAAGAGAGCAUAGGACAAUUGGUCUACAGGGGCGGGCUGGGCCGGGGGGCAGGGAGGCAAUUGCCCCCCAGGCCGCCCUAAAUUCUUUUAAGACCGGCCGCUGCAGGACCGGUUCUAAUGCUGCAGAUGCCUGAGCGCUAUGUUAAGAGCCUCUGGCGGCUGCAGCACAGCUUCUCACCUCCCCUCCCCUUCCCUGUAGUGUGGCCGAGCUCCUCUCCGAUCCGCGGUGCCCGGCUGGAGUGAUAGGAAGGUGCACAGGUCCGCGCGGAACAGGAGUUUCUGUUUCCUGUACCCGGCCGGACUGACAGGAAGUGCACACUGAGUGUGCACCUUCCUAUGACUCCGGCCGGGCACUGCGGCCGGAGAGGAGCUCGGCCACGCUACAGGGAAGGGGAGGGGGGAAGAGUAAAAAGAGGGGGGGGAGUAAGAAGAGGGGGAGAGUAAAAGAGGGGGGGGAGAGAAGAAGAGGGGGAGAGCAAAAAGCAGGGAGAGUAAAAGAGGGGGGAGUAAGAAGAAGGUGGAGAUAAGAAAUGUAGGGGUGCUAGCAGGCUGUGAGCAAGAAAAAGAGGGGAAACCAAAGAAGGGGAGAAGAAAAGAGGGGGUAAGAAAGAGGGGGGUGGGGCAAUAGCUGGGUGAGCAAGGCUGAAGAAGGGAGGAAGAAGAAGAAGAAGUGGGAGGAGGAAGAAGAAGGAGAGUAAGAAGGAGGAGAUAAGAAAAGAGGAGGGAAGCAAGAAGGUUAGGCUGGGGAGCAAGAAAGUGCUGGGGUGCAAGAAGAAGAAGGGGGGAGUAAGAAGCCAAAGAAGAAGGGGGAGGCGAAGAAGAAGAAGAGGAGCAAGAAGAAGGCCAGAAGAGGGGAGUACAGCACCCAUGAGGGGAGGCAAGAAGAAGAAGAGGUGGAGAAUGCGAAGUGAAGGGGAGUAAGAAGAAGAAGAGGGGGGGAGGGCAGUUAAAAUAGGGGGGUAAGAAGAAGAAGAGGGGGGGGGCAGAAAGAAGGGGAGUAAGAAGAAGAAAUAGCUGAGUGGGGAGGCAGAAGAAGAAGGAGGUAAGAAGAAGAAGGGGGUAAGAAGAAGAGGGGGGGUAAGCAAAGAAGGGGAGUAAUAAGAAGAAGGGGGGAGGUGAAGAAGAAGAAGAGUAGGGAGUAAGAAGGGCUGAAGGGGGUAAGAAGGAGUAAGGGGGUAAGAAGAAGAGGGUGUAAGAAAAAGAGGGGGUAAGAAGAAGGGGGAGUAAUAAGAAGAAGGGGGGAGUAAGAAGAACAAGGGGGGAGGGGGGGAGGAGAACACAGGGAGGGUGAUGGGGGGGUAUGAGAAGAGCACAGGGAGGGUGGGUGAGUGUGAGAAGAGGCCGCUAAGGGAGGGUGGGGGAGAGGAGAGACCACUAAGGAGCAGGGGAGAGCUCUAAGGGACAGCUCUAUAGGACAGGGGGCAAAACAUGGAGCUCUUUCACACUACGCGCACACACACACAAUGCAUCCCUACACACACAGAAACACAACAUGCUUCCCUUACACACAGAGAAACACGCAAUGCAUCCAUUACACACACACAAUGCAACCCUUACACACAAAGACAAUGCAUCCUUUGCACACAUACACAGAAACACACAAUGCAAACCCUUACACACACAUGCAAACACACACACUGCUUUUCUUACAUACACACAGAAACACAAUGCAUCUCUUGCACUCAAUGCACACACAUACAGACACACACCUUGCAUCCCUUAUGCAUACAAACACAGAUUCACACAAUGCAUCCCUUACACACAACCAGAAACACACAAUACAUCCCUUAAACACAAAUACACACUGCAUCACCUACACAAACUGGUAUCCCUAUACACUACAUACCAUAAGCACACAUAUUAGAUCCUCUACAAUAACACAUAACACAUCCCCUACACACUCCACUCCCUGUGAGUGAACUCAUGGGUGGGUGGAAUAUAUAAGUGGACUUAUGAGUGGGCCUUAUGGGCAUACUCACCGUCAGGCCCUGGGGCCCAGACCUUGAGCUGUGUAAGGGGCCCCCAAAAAAUGGAGCUGCUUCCAAUUCUCACAGAACAUUGAAUUUUGUGACCACAGUUGCAAACAGCCUCCAGAGAUCCUAUUCUACACCAAACAAGUGGAGCCAAACUGCAACCCAUCAUCAUCCUCAUCUGGUUGUAAGUAGGCAAUCUAGUAUAUUAUUAGUGACACUAAUCUAUAAUUUACCUCACAUUAAAGGGACACUAUCUAACCACUAGCUUAAUGAAGUGGUUCUGGUGUCUAUAGCCGGUCCCUGCAGGCUUUUUAAUGUAAACACACACUGUGUGCAGCACUGGCGUUAGUUCAUAUUGCAGAUCAUAUGGGUGGGGCAUUGUGAUGUCACAUGGGGGGGCGGCAAAUUUUUCUUUUGUCUACGGCGGCAAAAAUCAUUGCACUGCACUCUCCUCAUGCCCAGACCUGUCUUUACCGCAGUGCAAGUGCCCUCUGCCCCUAAUUUACAGUGGCUCACACUCACAACAAGCAGUGCCUGGAGCCCUUUGCAGAGACGGGAACAAAGAGGGUCUGCGGCAGCUGGCUGUCCUGCAAGCAUUACAUUAAACAGCUGUUCCCCAUGCAGCCACCGGUGGCGCUGUGCUGGGAGAAUGUGAUUACUCUUCACUUCCUCCCAGCCUACAGAGCAGCGCAUGGGAGAGAGAGAGGAGGAGGCAUAAUUUAAUCUUACAACAAAUCCAGUAAGCAAAUCUUUAUAAAUUUGGGGGGGAUCAGCUCUGUUUCCACAGUUUAUUGGUGUUUACUCUGAUGUCUGUAUUAAUAUUGAGGGAUAUCUAAGUAGUAACGUCAGUGUGUGUCAGCAGAGCCAGCGGUUGGGGUGUGCAAGCUGUGCGGUCACGCAGGGUGCCAUGACAACAGAGGCGCCCGGCGGCCAACACAGCUCACAAGUUGGGGACACCAGCAUAUUCAAUUUAAACGAUUCGCUGGUGGUCCACUGGUGCGCACCAGCAGUAGGUGCAGUCAGAUUAUAUCCUCUCCCUCGUGGUUCCGGCGCUCAGUUAGUGAGUCAGAGCACAGGCUCAGAGAUUCUCAGCCUGCGCUCUAACAACAUUAAAAGUCAGAGCCGUGAAGGAGCGGGUAUGGCAAAGAGCUACUGAUUAGCAUAACAUCAAUAUCCGUUAUAAAACCAAGAAAAGGUGGGCAUGGAUGGUGAACUGAUUUGGUAGUGCCCCCCAGGCCUAAGGCUGCCAGCCCUCUUCUGUUGGUCUAGUAUGUUGAUCUGGCACCAUUUAUUGUUGAUAGUAUGAAGGUAUAUGUCUGCAGGUGGGUAUGAGAUAAGUUUAAGUGUUUGGUAGCUAAUUUAAGGUUGAGGUGGAAAAAGGAUGUGAAUGUCAUCAUAGUACUGAUGGAGUACAGAUUGACGAUUCGAUAUUCGGAAGUGAACUUAUUAAACUUGCCAGAGUUCUGGUAUAUAAAUGGUUGAUAUAAACAGAGAGAUCCGCAUGUGCCAGCAAUCUACCAUGACCAUGAGAUGAGCUAAUCCUGGAAUGUAGAAGUUUUAGUAUGUGGUUAAGCAGCCGUGGAAUGUUUGAAGGAAUACCUGAAAUGGGAUUGAGACAGCGCUUCAGCUGCUAUGUGUGACAGGCUGGUAUGUGUAUGCAGACAAGGGAAAAUUGAUUUGUUGCUGCCAGCCAAGUAACUUUGCAUACAGCUAUGUUUGAGUAGUAAUUGACAGACUUCCUCCCCCAUAGAGCCCCUCAGGCUUGUGCAGUGGCCGCAAUGGAGUAUAUUACAAUGAGAGCUGAAGGUUACUAAAAGAGUAGACUUCAUGUCUCUGUGGGCCAUGUUUCAAAGAACCAGUUGUCCUUGAUAAUGGCUAAAAUAACAGGGUAAUCAUUGGUCAGUGGGGAAAUGAACCUUUGCCAGUGAAUGACUCAGUCUUCCCUGAUACGCUGGACACUGUCCACGAGGGGCAAUGCUGUAUUGACAAUAAGUCAAGAUGUACACCUAGUUAUAUUACAUUUAUAGGACUAUGGUAUAUCUUGGGGUAACGGAAUACCCAGGAAGAAACGGGGCCAUUGGCUUGUGAAUGAUCUAGAGUAUAGGUUCCUCAACAGUCAGAAAUGUGUCAUGAUAAUGUAUUGUAUAACACUCACAGACAGUCAAUAGCAACCAUGAGAGGGUUACCACAAAUACAUUGAAUCAUAAGUCUGUACAGCUCGGCUUCAGUACUGUUGCUGGGAAUGGUAAGUCUUUAUGCAUGAGUUUGGCAGCAUUUAGGAACUGUGUUAGUGGUUUCCUGGUACUUUACCAGAGUACAAUGGCGGGGUACUUGGGAAUGAAAUAACCUCUUCUAGUUUCAUGGUGAGAGACAUACUAUGAUGAAUAAACAAUGAGUAAAUAUAAUGGGCAUCUUGAUGAGACUGUAGCCCUCUAUCAACUGGCAGCUCGCUAAGUGCCGGAUGGCGAAGAAAUUAGAUUUACAAGGGGAAUGGGAGGCCUUGCUAAAUGCCACGUGGCUCAGAGAGGCUCUAGCUUUGAUUUUUUUCACGGUUCUCGCCAGGGACGGAUUGGGAGAAAAAUUCGGCCCGGGCAUUUUUUUAACACAGCGGCCCACUAAAAAGGGGGCGGGGCAGAGGAGGUGUGUUUUGUCAUCACCAAUGACAAACACGCCUCCUCUCAAAGUGAGCAUGUUGGGUCAAUUCUCUUCCAGGGCAGACCAUGCGCAGAGCUCUGCUGAAGAGCUCUAGCAUGAGAAAAAAGUCCUGUAUUUGUUAUGCACAGUGCAAGCAAAUUUAAUAACAUGCUUGCACUGUGUUUCCUUGCAACUUGUCUCUGGUGUCUUUAUAAAUGGAUACCAGGAGACAAAAGGCCAGGAAAGAGAAUUGUGCAUGUGUUUGGAGCCUGCUUGUGGUAUUGCGUGUGUGUAGAGUGAGCUGGUCGUGGUGUGGUAUUGUGUAAUAAGGUCGGUUUUAGUCGUGUUGUGUUUGUGGUGUAAUGUGAUGCAUAUGUGGCUCAGGGACCCCCUCCCGCCCGGCUCUGGAAAGGGGUUAAAACUUACCUUUUUCCAGCGCCGGGCGGGGAGCUCUCCUCCUCCGAUCCGCCCCGUCGGCUGAAUGCGCACGCGCGGCAAGAGCUGCGCGCAUUCAGCCGGUCGCAUAGGAAAGCAUUUAUAAUGCUUUCCUAUGGACGCUUGCGUGCUCUCACUGUGAUUUUCACAGUGAAAAGCACGCAAGCGCCUCUAGCGGCUGUCAAUGAGACAGCUGCUAGAGGCUUUGGGGGAAGGCUUAACCCAUUGAUAAACAUAGCAGUUUCUCUGAAACUGCUAUGUUUAUAAAACAAUGGGUUAACCCUAGAAGGACCUGGCACCAAGACCACUUCAUUAAGCUGAAGUGGUCAGGGUGGCUAGAGUGGUCCUUUAAGAGUGUAGUGUGUGUGUGUGUGUGUGUGUGUGUGUGUAUAUAUAUUUGGAAGUAUUGUGUAUGUGUGUGAAAGUGCUGUGUGUGAUGGGUGUGAGAGUGCUGUGUGAGAGAGUGCUGUGUGUGUGUGAGAGUGCUCUGUGAGAGUGCUGUGAGAGAGUGCUGUGAGUGUGAUGGGUGUGAGAGUGCUGUGAGUGUGAUGGGUGUGAGAGUGCUGUGAGAGAGUGCUGUGUGUGUGAAAGUGCUGUGUGUGAUGGGUGUGAGAGUGCUGUGUGAGAGAGUGCUGUGUGUGUGUGAGAGUGCUGUGAGAGUGCUGUGUGUGAUGGGUGUGAGAGUGCUGUGUGCGAUGGGUGUGAGUGCUGUGUGAGUGAGUGCUCUGUGUGAUGGGUGUGAGAGUGCUGUAUAAAUGUUAUUGUGUGUAUGUAGGGGGGGUAAAAAAAAAAAAAAAAACAGUCAUUAUGUCCCCCCCUCCCUUCUUACCUUUAGCCUGGGAGGGGGGGUCCGGCACGCUGGGAGGCAGGGUGGCAGUGUUCCCUGGUGGUCCUCGUGGGUGAGUGAACUCUAGCCUGUGAGGCUAGAGUUCACUCACGCGAGAUCCGGCCGUUGCCAUGGCAACGCACCGGAUCUCGCGAGAGGAACCCGGCGGAGCUGCAAGUUAGAGCUCCGCCGGGUCCUCUCUCCAGCCUGGCUCCCUCUCUGCCCGCCGGCGGCCGCAUGUGGGCCGGUCAGGGAGAUCCUUGAUCUCCCCACCGGCCCGUCGUGGCAAACAGCGGGGCCGGCGCUGGGAGAGUGCCGGCCCUGCAUAGACCGGCAGGGGAGAUCCUGGGACCUCCCCUGCCGGCCUCGGCCCCACGGCCACCGCGGCCCACCGGGCAUUUGCCCGGUGUGCCCGAUGGCCAGUCCGGGCCUGGUUCUCGCCGUGACAUCCAGACUGCCAGACGAGAUCAACCCAGAAGUGCCCAACAAGGGAUUUGAACAUGGGUGCUUCAUGGUUCUCAGCCUGUAUUCCUGCCCGUGAGCCACUUCAGUUCUUGGCUUGGCCUGAAACUUAUCCUUGCAAUGUCUCCAGCAAUGGAGCUGGAUUUACCUGAGACUGCUCCUGUCACUCAUGGUUCACCUGUGGCUGAUCACUGAUUAGCCAGGUAUAAGACACUUCCUAUCCUUGAGGGCAGUGUCAGUUCAUUUCUCGAUGUUCAAGAUGGAUUGUUAGCUCCUGUUUGCCUUGAAACCUAGAACCUAAGCCACCGACUUUAUCAAAGUCUGCACCGCUAAUCUACUUUUCGGAUGGAUUAGCAAAGCCCAAUAAAACAGGUUAAGCUCCUCCAUUUGUUACAUGGCUCCCCUUUUGUGGAACACCCCGGCAGACCCGGAUUGAUCCUUUUCGGGUCAACUUGGGGCUGUCUGGCUGACGGUUAGGGCAGAAGUUCGGUUUGCCUAGACAGUCCAUCUGCGUUCCCGUUGAAUUUGCAAGGCCGAUAUUGAAUGGAAAAAUUAUAUGGUUGUAGCGCCAAGCUCCAUCGCAAUAAACAUCCAUUAUCUCCGGCCACUCGAUUCAACCAUACUAGAGGAUUAUGAUCAGUGAUGAGUGUAAAUUCCUGACCAUACAAAUACGGGGUAAGUUUCUUUAAUGCCCAGAUCAGGGCUAAACAUUCCUUCUCCACUGCCGCGUAACUCACUUCUCUGGGUAACAAUUUUCUCACUUAGGUACGCGACAGGGUGUUCUCCUCCAUCUUCCCCGAUCUGGCUCAGAACUGCCCCCAGUCCGUACAUGGAGGCAUCUAUAUGGACGACAAAUCUUUUGUUAGGGACUGGGGCAGAUAGCACAGGAGCGUUGAUUAGCGCUUUCAUGUUCCAUCUCUCCUUCCCAGUGCUCUCAGAUGAGAUUGAGGGGGCCCCGAAUUCUCCUUCCAUAGAGCAGCUCAAACGGAGAGAACCCAGUGGAUUCCUGUGGCACCUCUCGAUAUGCAAACAAGAGGUGCGGCAAGAAUCGCUCCCAGUCUCUGUACUCCGCAGUAAAAGUCCGCAGUAACUAUUUCAGGGUACCGUUAAAGCGCUCACAGAGCCAGUUAGUCUGGGGGUGGUAGGAUGAGCUGAAGAGGGUCUUAAUACCACAAAUCUUCCAUAAUUGUUGGGUUAAGUCUGAGGUAAACUGUGUCCCUCGGUCAGACAGUAUCUCUUGUGGGAACCCCACUCUGGUGAAUAUCCCGUCCUAAGCACUGGCGACAGUGUCAGCCUGGAUAUUCAUCAGAGCGACGGCUUCCGGGUAGCGGGUGGCAUAGUCCACCACGGUAAGAAUGUAUUUCUUACCGGAGGGACUGGGGUUAGGUAGGGGUCCCACCAGAUCGACUGCCACCCUACUAAAUGGCUCUUCUAUCACGGGCAUGGGCGACAAUCGUGCCUUCGGGUGGUCCCCUCGCUUCCCUACUCGUUGGCAGACGUCACACGUGCUGCAGUAGCGCCGCACAUCCUUUGAGAUCCCUGGCCACAAGAAGGUCUGGGUGAUCCUGUAAGUUGAACGGUUACCACCGAAAUGUCCUGCCAAGGGGAUAUCAUGGCCAAUUCGGAGAAGUUCCAACCGGUACUUUCUGGGUACCACUAGUUGGCACUUCUGCGAAGGAAUACAACCUCCCUUCCUACCUUCGGUUAAUCUGUACAGCCUGUCGUUAUCCCAUACAAAACAUUCCCGCUCACCCCCCCACUGUCUGCUAGUUCCCGGUACUUUUGGAGGGUUGGGUCCUCUCUAGUUUCCCUCCCAAAUGCUUCUGGGGUAUCCCAAGCUAGAGGUCUCUCUACGGUAUCUGGUCUAAGGGUCGGUUCUUUCCUUACCUGGGUCUCCCGUCCUGGUGUGGGGUCAUCUGUGGCACGAGCUUGUGAACAAGUGGUCACGGGGCAAGCAGCAGCUUGUGGGUAAGUAGGCUGAAGCCAGAGGGCCAAUAUCAUUGCCCAACACGACUUUAGCAGGUAAGUUGCCCAUGAUGCCCACUGUGGUUUUCCCAGCCCCGACCCCCCAGUCCAGAUGUACCCGGGCGGUAGGUAAGCGAAACACAGCUCCCCCGCUACACGUACAGCCACAGUGCGGUUGGACAAAUGUUCCGGCUUGACUAAAUGUCUUUGCAUUAGGGUGAUGGUCGCACCGGUGUCCCUCAAGCCUUAAGCCACUUGACCGGGACAAGUGAUGCUGCCGGUUAUCUGGGGACGUCAUACAAGUGACGCAAUGAUGCUGCCGGUUAUCUGGGGACGCUGUCUGUAUUGGGUCUGCCUCAUAUAGAAUGCCCAUGUAUUCCUCUGGGCCCAUUUCAGUCUCCAGGCAAUGGGCGGCAGAGGUGCGAGGUGAGGUGGCAGAGAUGUGAGGUGAAGCGGUCUCUGCAGGCGGUGAGGUGCGCCUCCAAUUGUUGGCUGCCGAUCCCAAAGGGCAGUAACGGUCGAUGUGUCCGAGGUUGCUGCAGCGAUGGCACGUCAUUCUGGACAAAUCUCGUGGGUAAUUGUUAGACCCCUGAGAGCGAGGCUGUCCUGGAGGGACAGGAGCACGGAACUCUGGCCGAGAGCUGCUAGCUGGGGUACGGUGUUCCAUCCUGCUAGCUGGUCGGUGAGUACUAACUUUCCUUGUUUCGGCGUACUCAUCUGCUAGCCGAGCCGCCUCGUUCAGAUUGGUGGGGCGACAGUCUCAUACCCAGUCUUGUAAAUCGGCCGAUAAAUCCUGAAAGAAACGUUCCAUUAAAAAUAGCUGUAGAACUUCUUCCCGGGGUUGGCAUUGCACCCUCGAACCCAGUGUGAUGCCACUCAUUGGAGCCGGUUGGCCCAUUCCAUGUGGGAGUCUACAGCCUUUUUCUUGGAUUCCCGGAAGCGGCGACGAUAAGCCUCCAGAGUCACGGCAUAUCUGGUUAGUAGCGCCUCUUUGACCCGCUGGUAUUGUAAUAUAUCCUCUGGGGUGAGAGCCCGAAAGGCCUCGUUCGCUUUGCCUGACAGUUUUCCUGAUAAAAUAGUGACCCAUUGCUCUGAAGGCACUUGAUGUAGCGAGCACUGUCUCUCAAAAUCUGCCAAAUAUCCAUCGAUCUCCUCUUCGCUCUCCACAAAUGCUUUAAAUGCAGUGAAAGGUACUUUCUUUGUGGUGGUAGUUGGAGGGGGAGUAGGAACUGUCUGUGUAAUGGGCUGUUGUGCUCUUACCAGUUCGAUUUCGUGCACCCUCCUCUCCCGAAUAUCUGCUUUUGCAUCGAGGAACAGCUGCUCAAUCGGCUCCACUGAUGUCAUUGGGUAGAAGGCUAGUCUCCUCUGCACAAUACGGGCGACCUCGUCCUCCUCGUUGACUGGAGCAAGUGGUUCUGUAACUUCCAUGGACCGAUCCAUUUUGUCCAACUCCAGCAGGUCUGCUAUCAGCUCUCUCCGUGGCCAGUUACGGCACUCCUUCCCCGGCUCUCCAGUAGAUCCUUUAGGGUAGGUCUCUUCAGUUUGGCAUACUGAGACUCCAUCCAGCACCUGCGCUGUGGAUGAAAGGACCAUCCCACCGCUGCCACCAAUGUAACGGCUACCCAGGUAGUAAGAGAGUAUCAGCCGUUGGAGACGUCCUUUUCUUCCUGGCAAGUUGCUGUAUAGUAAUGGAGUCACUUAUUCCCAUCCACUGGAUCCAAGGCAGGAGUCAGGUAGAGCUCUUAAAAGAGCUCAGUGAUUAUGCUGCAGAAUUCCCUUUCAAGAAUGAGACAAGGCUACGUUUUGAAGGGUCAAGAAGAACUGGCUUUUAAUGGCAGGCACUCUCUUUUUAUGUGAUUCUGCCCAUGCAAGGGAGACACCCACAUAAUUAACAACACAACCAAUAAAACAUAAGGUACAUCCCACACAUCUCCUCCCCUCAGAUAAGCUAGUAACACAAUUAACAAGGACACAUUUUUCCCCAAAGAUUGGAUGUACCCCAAAUACUAGAUAGCCCUAUUCUGGGGGACCAACAUAGUAAAAAUUCAGCUCAUUCGGUUCAGCGGUUUGGGAGAUAUGGAGCCUGAAAGUUUUGACCGACCGCACAGGCAAAGUGGCCGAAAACAGUUCCAUGAGUUUUGGCCUUGCGGUCGGUCUUGGUUCAUGCGUAAAAAGUCCCAAACGGCUUGCCAUCCGUGCGUAACCCGACGUUCGCCAGAAUCCCCAUAGGCUAUAAAGUCUUUCUACCGAACGACCUCCCGGUGCUAUGGAGGUCUCAGCGGUGUUCGCCUACUCGAGUGUCCGAUUUUAGUUCCAGACACUUGAUGGCAAAACACAGCUGUUUGGGAGUUAAGAUGGCCACGAACACGUGUAAGUCCCGAAAUGGCGGCCACCCAGGCGCUUCGCAAAGCGUUCAUGGGUUUUCUAUGCGAAGGCACUUGAUGGAUCAGGGAGGUAAAUUACCUAUAAUUAGGAAGCAGGGUGGCCCGGUGUUCGGUAGUUAGCAUUCGUAUGGGGAUGCUUCAAAUGUCCCGAACUGAUGCCUAGCAAAGCCCCAUAAAACAGGUUAAGCUCCUCCAUUUGUUACACCGACCUCUACGAAGAACCUGUUCACGGCCAGAGGUCGUUCUUAAACAGGGGGGUAAUGUCACGGUUCUCGCCGUGACAUCCAGACUGCCAGACGAGAUCAACCCAGAAGUGCCCAACAAGGGAUUUGAACAUGGGUGCUUCAUGGUUCUCAGCCUGUAUUCCUGCCUCUGAGCCACUUCAAUUCUUGGCUUGGCCUGAAACUUAUCCUUGUCAUGUCUCCAGCACUGGGGCUGGAUUGACCUGAGACUGCUCCUGUCACUCAUGGUUCACCUGUGGCUGAUCACUGAUUAGCCAGGUAUAAGACACUGCAUCUCCCUGAGGGCAGUGUCAGUUCAUUGACUCUGGUUCCUGUAUUGAUGUUUGUGUUCCAGUGUUCUCCAGUGUUCUCCAGUUGGCUCCUGACCUUGUUAUUCGUGUAUCCUGACUUCUGGCAUGCUCUGACUUUGGCUUACCCUCAUUUAUCCUGAUUUCUGGCAUCCUCUGACCUUUGGCUUACCCACGACGAUUCUCCUGCUUAUGUCCGUAACAGAACUGCGACUUGGAGCAUUAUCCUGCACAGCCCCUGUGCACAGACUCACAGGCCUGGUGAGUUCUUACCUGACCACCUUGGCCUGUGUUUAAUUGCAAGGGUGAGCAAAUAUCUCUGCAUACCAUACUCCCACUAAGGUAAACCGUUACAGAUUUUGGCCGAGGGACCGAAGAACUGGCGCGAAUGUUGGCCCCUCAGUGACAAGUAAGAGAUUCAAAUGAGUGGCCAUAACUCAUAGCUAUGAGUUGGGCUGAUGGAUGAAUACCUCCGCGUGAGGAUGGGUGUUGGCCUCGCGGGACUGAAUUAUGAACAUACUAGAAAAUGUCUUGCACCAAACCCUUUGCAGCCACUUGAUUUAUCCCUAAGGAAUGUAGGUGAAUAGAAACUUAAUGGAUUGAUAGAAAGUAUGUUGGAGCAUACGUACUUUGCCCAAUAUCAUAAAGAGGAACCUAAUGACACAAUGGGGAUAUGUCCAGGAUGAUGCAAGUGCUAAUUGAGAACGCACCUGUGUUGAUAAGUAAGGAUGGUGGGAACCUAGAACAAUAAGUAUAUACCUAGGCCAAACAAAAUGAGUACGGUAAAGAGAUAGCUGAUUGAACUGAAGCUAUAUAUGAGUUCCCACUGUACGUCCUUCUACUAGAAGGAUCUGAAGUAUGUGUGAGAAGCAUCUCUAGCUUACUAGCUUACUAGUGUGUAGCGAAUUAUGAGAUCUAGUUGAAGGUGGGUUAUACUAAUUUAAGUAAAAUAGACAGAUCAAAGAGAUCUGAAUACCUAUAAUUGCAUAAUGAGGGGCUCUUGUGUGAGCCUAGCGAGGCAGUGUGGAAUAGUAGAAUGUAAUAUGAAGGAUGUCAUACGGUAUCUCUUCCAGGUUCGGCAUUCCGCUAUGCAGAGCCAGCCCCGCCCCCUUCUGACGCGGCUCUCUGACACUACUUAGAGAGACCGCGCCAGAGAGAAAGUGCUUGGUGAUUGUGGGACCUACUUCCGGGUAUAGACGCCGGCUUCACAAGUUUCUCGCACAAGCCUUCCUAAACCUUUGAAGAUUAUGCUUCAUCCGCUAGAGGAUUACUGGAGAACGGACACUUUACCAUUUAACAAGUAGACUGUAAUACCGAUCUCUUGGAGGACAACUCACAUUAUUCUUAAGUAUAACUUCCAAUUCAUUAUCUGGAAUCUCAGUUAUUAAUGAACUGUUUCUUGCUUGCUCAAAUCCUCUCUGCUGCAUACACACUAAUUAUAUUGAGGAUAACUCCCAUCAAGCUUAACCACUAUGAACUGUUUCUUGCUUUGCAAAUAUUCUCUGCUACCUGCAUACUAUUUCUAUUGAAGAUUAUUCCUAUCAACCUAAAGAAUUUUAUUCAAUACAUCUUUGAGGAAAUACUUUUUGAUGAACUUUGUAUUGUUUGCUAUAACCAGCAAUUUCUUCUUAUUGAAUUAUUACCUAUAUGCUUUUCACUUAAGUUUAUCACAAUCAUUAAAACUUUGUUUGAUUCUCUAAUUGCCAGCAAUCCUCUCUUUUCUUAAAGCUAUUGAUAAUUUAAAGAUUCUCAGUUUCUUCACUAUUGUAAUUAAAGAGUUCUACAAGCUGCAGUUGAGUUCCAAUUCUAAAAACCCUAGUAGCAUAACAGAAUCAACAAGCCCAAAAAUGGAACCAGCAGAAGUGAAAAUUAUUUAAAUAGCACAUCAAGGCUUCCAGCCGGUCCCAGGUGCUGCGGCCCACCGAGAAAUUCACUGGUAUUCCUGACACUAUAGUGUUCCUUUAAUUAUAGGAGUGGUUAGUUAAUUUCAACUGUGUGGUUUUCAGUACCUAAAGAAAGGGGGAGAAAAAUUGAGGGCACACCAAGAACAUUAAUUUCUUAUUCAAUUUAUUGAUUCAAUGGAUCUCUAUGAGAAAUGCUGAUUGGUGCAUUGCUGUAUCUUGCGGCGCAAUAGCUUCCCAGUGCUUUCCUAUAGGAAAGCAUGGGAUUGGCUGAGAUUAUCAAGAUGGAGAAUAGGUUAAUUUAAAAGUUUUUAACUGCAUUCUGAGCAGUGCUGGGGACCUAAAUAGCUAGCCCAACUCUAUAGUGUGUAGAUUACGUUUUUAUUCCUAACACUAUAGUGUUCCUUUAACCCCUUUCUAACAUUCAACUCCUUCUUUGCCCUAACCCCUUCUAACAUUAACGUGAACCCUGUCUGCAUUUACACAGCUGCAGACUCUACUCUCUAUGCUCACAGAUUCAAACACAAUAUAUUAAAAGCAGAGAAGAAAUAUGCAUGUACAUUUAGAUAUAUAAAGUUGCAAAUAAUAUGUUUUUUUUAGAUGUUUCUAAACAUUGUCAUACUUACUUUAUCUGCCUUUUGUUUAGGUUGGAAAGCAGGGGGUGCCUUAGAAUGUUGUGCCUACUGGCACCUGGCAUGUAAAUCCAGCCCUGAAGAAGUCCCAGAUGCUGGACCAGUUGGAGGAGUUCUUUUGUGCCCAUAGUUCUGCACCACAGUCUUCUUCAGUCCCAAACAAAUCUAUCCAAAGUUUAUGCAAACCUCUCUGGGGUCUAAGCACUUCAUUGUAUGUCUGUCUAGGGGGCCUAGUAAAUUUAUGGGAGUUGGUGUUGGUACCGUAGUGUGUGUGAGGGGUGAAAUGUCUGAGAGAUGCAAUGUGUGUGAGUGCUGAAGUCUGUGAGUGAGGAGGGCAGUUUGUGUGAGAAGUGCAGUUUGUGUGAGAAGUGCAGUGUAUGUGAAGAGUGCAGUGUGUGUGAAGAGUGCAGUGUCUGUGUGAGGGGUGCAGUGUGUGUGGAACCUGGCUCAAUAAAAACUACCUCCUGCUGGACUGCAAAGAAAAAGGAGAGAGAAUUUAUGGGCGCUCUAACCAGACGGUGAAUAACUGUCCUCAGAAACUGAAGAAUUUACCGGGUAAGAAAUACAACCCUGUUGCUAUGUCUUCUACCCUGGUCACCAUGACUCCUCUCUUAUCUGUCUCUCUUUCCUUUCAGUGGAAUGACAUGCACUAUGAAUGUCAAGCAUUGAUUGAUUCAUGGGCCAGUGGUUGUUUUCUGGACUCAACUCUUGCAUGUUCCCUAUCUAUACCUGUACAGAAUAAAGCCUCUCCAUUGCAAAUACAGCUUGUAGAUAGGUCCUUUUUGCCUUCUGGUCCACACACCAAACAGACCGAACCUAUUCUAGUAAAAAUAGGAAAACACACAGAGACUCUGCCCUUCGAUUUUGCCCCCCUUCACCUCUAUUUCCCGUCAUCUUGGUGAUCCCCUGGCUACAGACACAUGACCUUAUGAUUACACGUUACACUGGAUCCUUGAUGUUCUCUUCACCACAAUGCUCUCAACUUCAUCUGGUAGAUACAACAGUGAAAGGCUUUGUACACUCCAUAUUGGAAGUGAACAUGGAAAAGGGACAAGAAGUCAUCCUUCCUGAGGCCUACCAUACAUAUCGAGAUGUAUUUGAUAAUAGGAUAGUAGAAUAUUUACCUCCCUGCAGAAAAAAACGACUGUCCUAUUGAUCUAUUGCCAGGAGCUCCUAUCCCUUUUGGUAGAGUAUACCUCCUAUCUGAAAAAAGAACUACUAAUCCUUAAAGAGUAUAUUCCCCCGCUGAAGCCGGGAUAUGUUUUGUUGGUAAAGAGUAUGGAAGCUGCAACCCUGUGUGGACUGUAGACAUCUCAAUCACAUCACCAUCUAGAAUAAGUACCCCAUACUCCUUAUUCCAGAACUUAUUGAACGUCUUCAAACAGCACAAAUAUACACCAAACUGGACCUAAAUGGUGCUUUUCAUUUGCUUUAAGUCCGUAAGGGCAAGGCCGGAUUAAUAUAGGGGCUGAUGGAGCUGCAGCCCCAGGCCCAGGCCCAGGCCCAUGGAAUAGGCCCAUUGAUUUAACACACUACUCUUAGGGCUUUCACCUGGCUUUUAUUUUUUUGGCACAGCCAGUAUUUGAGGCUGCCUUUGCCGGUUCCGAUAUUGCAGUCAUACUGGCAAUACAAAUGAUUUUUCUCAGUAUAAACAGAGAUUACAGUGCAAUGGCCAGUAGGGGUCGCCAGGGCCAGACUGGGGAUACAAAGCAGCCCUGGAAAAAAAAAUUGUGCCAGCCCCAUAAGUCACUGCACCAUAUAUUGUCGCGUGUAAUAUGUAAGGCUAUGUCUUGCCAGGACAGAUGAUUGAGUAUAUAUAUAUAUAUAUAUAUAUAUAUAUAUAAAUAUAUAUAUAUAUAUAUAUAUAUUUGUAGUCGGGGACAUAAGCCGUGAAGUGUAAUGAUUAUACCAGAAUAUGGAAGUCGGUUGUGGUGUGCCGAAACCGACGUAUGAGGUAGGCCUGUAAUAAAAGAGGGCCCACCCAAGAAAGGUUAUAGAGGGUUGUGGUGGGAGGGAUGAACCCAGCGAUUCCAGUAUAGAUUUGGCUGGGGCCUGAGCUUUUAUAGCCGGGUAACCCCUCCCACAAUUCCAGGCUACGCCUUACUAUUUGUAGUCGGGGACAUAAGCCGUGAAGUGUAAUGAUUAUACCAGAAUAUGGAAGUCGGUUGUGGUGUGCCGAAACCGACGUAUGGGGUAGGCCUGUAAUAAAAGAGGGCAAAAAGGUAGGAGUAAACAAUUCACUUUAUUAUGCAUGAUUACAUAGCAAGACCUUUGAAUGCGGACCUUAGUUCUAUUUCUGGUUGUGGAAUGUAAGUGGCGUAGACCGCAGAUUUCCAUCGGCCUAAUCUUUUUAUUAUGUGAGAGGGUACGUUGUGACUUGAGGCUGCCGAAGCAGCUCCAAUUCUCAACGAGUGACCAGAAAACCCUGUAGGGUUGAGGCCGAGUCGGAUGAACAAGGUUCUGACGUACUGAAUGAACUUGGCAGUUGUUAAGGGGAAACCUUGUAAUGAUAGUAGUGGGGCGUUUUGACUGAGACCUGUGAGAGUAGCCAAGAAAGUGUCAAAUACUACGACGGGGCACCACUGAUUGCCGGUGGGAUAGUAGCAGAUCUUGGUAGGUGGGCCUAUUUGAUUGGUUUUAGUGUGACCUAGGGUGAGUAUGUAGUGAUCUGUGUGUUUCUGGAGAUUUGUAAUUUUGAGGGGUUGAUUUUGACAUGAACCACUAUUGGUGGUGAACUCGUUUGGUCGUAAAAACCCAUAGAAAGCUAGGUAAGUCGCUGUCUUGAUAACUAGGUUGGUAUGGGUUUCAAAAGGUUUGGAGUCCAAGAUAUUGGAGAGUGCGCGAAACUUGGGACCGUCUAUGGGCAGUCUGGCAGAGGUAGUGGGUGAGUCUAAUCUCAGUAUGCCUUUUAAUAUGUUUUUCACGGGGUAGGAAGACAUGAAGGGUUUAGAACUAGGGUAGGCACUGAUGAUAUGAUGUUGUAUACCCGAGAGAUAUAGUUUAAUGGUGUUCAAUGAUAAUUUUAGGUUAAGGUGGCAGAAAGAAAUAAAUGCAAUAAUGGAAUCUAGAGAAUGAGUGUCAGUUAUCUGAUGCUGUGUCGUGAAUUUGGUGUAUAUGGUAAAAGCUUGAUUGUAUGCACGAGAUGUGUUUGUGGAUAGAGCUGCUCCGGCUAGAUAUCUGCUGUGAGAUAGCAGUCUUUCUAGUCCAGGAUGAGGUCUUGGAAUGGAGGGGUGCUGACUGGUCUGGAGUUGGCUGUGGGGUGUGUCCUGAAGAAGACCUGUAAGUUAAAUCGAGACAAUGCAUCAGCGGCUGUGUUGGUGUUUCCUGGAAUGUGGAUGCAUGUGAUGUGAAACUGUAGUGUUGCCGCUAACCAAGUUAGCCUUCGGAUCAAUUUCAUGAUGGUGAGUGAGGAGGAUCUACCCUUGUUGAUUAUGUCACAGGCUGGUUUGUUGUCGGAAAAGCAUUUUACUGCUUUCCCCCGCCAUAAGUGUCCCCAUACUCUGGCGGCUGCCACAAUCGGGUAGAUCUCGAAUAGGGCAGAUGUAGUGGGAAAUGAGGGCAAACCUAGGGUUUCUACUGGCCAUGAAUCUCUGAACCAGUCAUUGCGAUAGAUUGCUGCAAACCCAGUGUGAGCUGCUGCAUCGGUCCAGAUGACAGGUGAGGAAUCUGAUAAAGGAGUGAUAAACAUGGCUUUCCCAUUCCAAUGAGUUAGGAACCGUAGCCACAUGAGUAGAUCUGCCUUGGCGUGAGCAUCUAGUGAUAACGUGCUGGAGUCAGUAUUGAGUAACGGGAGAAGGCACAACAAUCUUGAGAUGAACGCCCGACCUUGAGGGAUAAUUUUCAUGGCGAAGUUCAGCGUGCCCAAUAAGGAUUGUAGGUCUGACCUGGUACACGUGUCCUUCACCAGAAAAUACUCUAUCAUUUCAAUGAUAUGUUGCACCUUCUCCCGUGGUAGACUAGCCUGUAAUGUGACUGUGUCUAGUUGAAUACCCAAGAACGUAAGUUUUGUGGUAGGGCCUAUUGUCUUUGUUGGAGACAGUGGAACCCCCAACGUUGAAAAUAGGGCCAAGGUCUUCUGGAGACUAUCGUAAGGAAGUCAUCCAGGUAGUGCAGAACUGCGGGACAGUGAGUGAUAUUGAGGAGUAGCCAGCAUAGUGUGUCAGCAAAUAUGUCGAAUAAUUUCGGGCUACUUUUUGCUCCGAAGGUAAGGCGGGUGGCAAAGUAGUAAUUGUUUUCCCAUUUGAUGCCGUGCACAUGCCACAGGGACGGGUGGAUUGGUAAGAGCUUAAAAGCGUUGGAAAUAUCGGUUUUCCCCAACCAGGCUCCCGCACCUGCCCUAAGAAUGGAUUGAAUGGCAUUGUCUACAGAAGUAUAUUGCAGGGAAAACUCUUCUGAAGGUAUCAAUGAAUUGAUGCUGGGGGUAGCUAAAGAAUGAGGAGCGGACAAGUCGUAAAUAAGUCUUUUUUUUUUUUUAUUGUUGGACUUCCCAGUGGCGAUACCUAUAGGGUUGGUACGCCAGCUGGUGAACCGAGGGUGAGCGAAGGGGCCCACGAUAAAGCCGUUAGUCAGUUCGGUCUUGAGCAGUGACUGUGUGGAGAUUGGGUCAAGGAUAGCUGACUGUAAGUUGGGACAUUCGAGAAUACCUGUGGGAAGUGUGACUAGGCCCGUGUGGAAACCCUCAGUGAAGCCUUGAAUGAGGAAGUUGACUAAGUGAAGGGAAGGGUGUGCCUGGAGGUAAAAUGCCAGGUUGUCAAUGCUAACUUCGGUUAGUCAUUGUUUUGGGUACAGACGAUUGGGGCACAUAGUUUUUGAUGUGCCCUGAAGCAAAUUGAGCAGACGUGCAGCAGUCUGCAUGAGCUAAAACCACAACUUCCUGAAUUGAAGUUGUUGCAGAUCUGUGCUUUCCCAAGGUAUACUAUGGGUCUACCCAACUUGUCCUUCAAUCCUCUGUGUUCUGCCGUGGAGGAACCGAAGGUAGCACGACUAGUGGUAGGAAGGUUAGGAUCGACUGGGCACAAGUUGGUGGAGUGUGAGAUGGAGGCGCACAGGGCACAGGAUGGAGGUUUUUGGCAAGCGAAAUGGCGGCAAAAAAGUUCUGUAUCCAGGUUACUCCAGUUGGUAUGAGUGUUAAAUUGAGUUAGGGAUGCUGCUGCCUUGGCCGAAAAGGAUUUAUGAUAAUCAUAGAAGGAAAAACCCCCAUACUUAUGCCCUAGGUCCACCAACUUGUGCAUGUACAAGUCCAACUCCUCCCUACGGUGCGGGGAUGUGGAACAGAUUACGUCACGGUAGAGGCCGAAGGCAAGGACGAAUUCAGGUAUGGUGAGUUUCCGGUUGAGCCUGGGAUCUCUGGCUUUUAGCACAACCGAAAGAUCACCGUAGCAGUACGCCUUGUUUUCCACUACAUCUUGUGAUGCGAUCAGCAGAGAUACAAGGUUUAUGUCCUUGCCUUCUAGAAUGUCUUUGCGUAUUGUCGGGGGUACAAAAUGUGCAGGUGUGAUGAUGUGGGUGGAUGUGCUUGGUAUAGGGUUUAAGGGAGUGUCAUUACCGUGAGGGAGGAGAGACGAAGUGAGGGUUGGUAUGGGUGAGGUGACUGUCGUCAUCUGCGGGGUUUCUAGCUUAUCCAGCCUAGCGCUGAUUGUGGUAAUUGAGGCCAAGAGGGAUGACAUCAGACCCUUGAUCUCGUUGUAGUUUUCCGAAUGCAGAACUACUCCUGGUUGGGGAGUGCACGUGUUAGAUAUGAAAAAUUUGUAUAAUUCGGCUUUGCGGGCUGUAGCUGGAAACGGGACCCCCAUGCGACGUAAUUCGGCUGCGAGCUUGGGGAUGGUCCAUGACCUGAGAGCGUAUGGGCUGGCUGAUUCUAGGUUUUCAGUGGGUGUGCUUGGGCCCGCCGGGGUUGCAGGUCUGGUUGGGGUUUCAGGUAUGGCCAGCUCUUCUUCUUGGUCAUGGGAUUGAGACAUACUAAAAUUGAAAACAGGGUAAGAGACGGAGUUUGAUAAUGAGCGAAGUUGCCUGAGUCAACUGGUGCUAGCUAUGCCAAUAGGCGAAACAUUAACUAUUCUAUGAGGAAGGUGAGGCCCUGCUAGUGCCAAGUGGCGCGAGAGGCUCUAUCUAUGCGGAGGGCCGGUUGGACGGGGACCACUUUAAUGAUGUGGCGGGAACGUUGGCCUCUCGGUGACUGUAACAAGAAAAAGGAUUAAAUUGGCUGUGACUGGUGAGGCCCUAACUGGUAACCAAGGGUGGUUUUCAUGAGGCUCUAUCUAUGCGUUGGGUCGAGGGGCGUAUACCUCCGAUGAGGAUGGGUGUUGGCCUCCAGGAAUCGUUUUAAUUUACAAUAUGUUAGCUAGGGGCCGUACUCUAAAAUCACCAGUUGACCGUCCUAUUUUUUUUUUUUUGAGUCGGGGGGAGUAAUAGUGGUGCGACCGUACCUAUUUGUUUGACGUACGAGAUUCGACGUAGAAUUUGGAGGAUAUUUUAUUUGGAGUCUGUGGAAUAAAACAGGUGGUUAAGGGCGACUAAACUGGUUCGGAACUUGAACGUAAAAUAUAUAUUUUUUUUUUUUUUACCUGGUGAUGCUGUAAAUAAUGGUGCUGUCUAGAUGAUAGCUUGAACGCCAGUUGGGGUAAUAAUCUGAGGAAAAGCUAAAGUUAUCUCUUGUAUUCCCUUAGAUAUACAUACAGGCUUAAGGACAAAGUGAAGCGUAAAUUUAUAAAUCUAAUACCUGUAGUAGGCUAGGGAUGGGUGUCCGAUGCUAGUUCCAAGUAUCAGGGAAGGUGUUGAAAAUGGAUUUUUUGAUGAACCAGAAAUGAAUCCUGAGGAGAUGGCGUAAGGAGUUAAGUAAUGAACCUCAUAUGAAGAACAUGGCAAUGGACAGGACAACCUCUUGUAUGGGGUAGAUUAUUUCUUACCGUAUGAUCAAAGACGGAGUGUGUCUUUGACAGGUAUAUGUCUGAUGAGGUUCAGGUGUUGCCGUUUAGACUGGGUAAGGUUUUAGACAAUACCUGUAUAGGUGACAGGUAACGAAUAUAAGCGUAGGUAAUGUUGGCAAAUAACAUGUGACAGAAUUUAUGGUAUUCAGCGUAUUGUCGUUUUUUUUUUGUUUUUUUUUGCAAGGGAGAAAGGAAGGCGAGGGAAAUAGGAACAGACACUAUUUAAAAGCAUAACAUUGUGUAAAAAUAUGUAUUGCCGUCAGGGGUUGUUCUGAGCAGCCAAUGUGUACCAGAAAACAGAAACAUAUAACAUUUCAAAGAGCAGAAGUAUAUGUACAAUUGUGUUUUUUUUUUUUGUUUUUUGUUUUUUCACCAGGGGGUGUCGUGAGCAGCCAUGCGUAUUGUUAGUAUAGAGGAGAAAAAAAUUUUUUUUUGUAAGUUCAGCCGGGUGGCCCGUUUACCGACCAGCGUUGGAGGGUAAGUGCCAGGGGGAGAAUGUGCCUGUGGAGUGCGGUACCGAACGAAGCCCGGAGCGGUAAGGUAAGUAUGAAUGACAGUCCUUAGUGACAGGUGUGUAAAGUGUGAAUGGACGCCAGGCGUCUGGCUGAGAGUGGUGUGGAUGAGACUCACGGUUCUGGGACCCUGGAGUAGGUAUGUUUCCUGUUCCUGAAACCGCCGUGGGUAUGGCUGAGGAGGAUGGGAGUUCGCCGGGACCCCGAUAGUAAGCUGGACUGGAGCGCUUGAUGCCGGGCACGGAGACCGCCGGGCUUGUACCGAACAGGGUUAGCAGGGGGCACUUCGACUGGAGCGGACCACGUGGGAGCGAUAUGUCGGUGAGUUUGAACCGGAAGUUCAAAGGUUCUGGAUGAACCCAGCGAUUCCAGUAUAGAUUUGGCUGGGGCCUGAGCUUUUAUAGCCUGGUAACCCCUCCCACAAUUCCAGGCUACGCCUUACUAUAUAUAUAUAUCUUUUUCUAAUAUAAAAUAUUGGUCCUUUCAGGGUAAAACGUUUAAUUAUACAGUAAGCAUACUCACAUGCAGACACAGGCAAUUUCACUGACAUCUCAAUGACACACACAAGCUCAUUGAUACACAGCCUCAUAGACAAACAAUCUUACUGAUAUACAUCAGCUCAUUGACAUAAAAACACAAGCUCACUCACUAGCAGGCACACGCAUGCAAGCAAGCUCACUCACUAGCAGACGCACACACACAGCUUAAUGUGGUGGUACUGGUGUCUAUAGCAUGUCCCUACAGGCUUUUCAACGUAAACACUGACUUUUCAGAGAAAAGGCAGUGUUUACAUUGCUUCAAAGUGACACUGCUAGUGACAGUCACUCAGACGGUCACUAGAGGUGCUUCCUGUGUUAGUGCACCUACAUUCAGGGCCUCCACACUCUGUAGGUGCUGAAUGUUCCCCAUAGAGAUACAUUGAUUCAAUGCAUCUCUAUGAGGAGAUACUGAUUGGAGUGGCGUUUUGCAGCCAAUCCUAUGGCAAAGCAUUGGAUUGGUUGAGAUCAUCAAGCUUGAUGAUCUCAGCUAUAGAGGCAGGGCCAGUCGAGGGGAGACCAGCACCAUGACAGACCAUGACACAGACAGACACACACACCAUGACACAGACACACACACCAUGACUGACAGACAGACACACACACCCCAUGACGGACAUACAGACACACACACACCCCAUGACGGACAGACAGACACACACACACUCCAUGACGGACAGACAGACACCCACACACCCCAUGACGGACAGACAGACACACACACCCCAUGACGGACAGACACACAGACACACACACCAUACAGACAGACACCAUGACACAGACAGACAGACACACACACACACCAUACAGACAAACACCAUGACACAGACAGACACACACACACACCAUACAGACAGACACACACACACCAUACAGACACCAUGACACAGACAGACAGACACACACACACACACCAUACAGACAGACACCAUGACACAGACAGACAGACAGACACACACACACCAUACAGACAGACACCAUGACACAGACAGACACACACCAUACAGACAGACAGACACACCAUAACACAGACAGACAGACACAUUACUAAUACCUGCCAGGGGGAGGUCUUCUGGAUGCCGCUGGGGGACUUGUCCUGGCGGCCCCUGGGGGAGAUGCGCUGGCUCUGCUCUCCCACCCUCGCGCGCUGCUGAAUGAGACCGGCGCUGGAAUAUGACGUCAUAUUCCGACGCCAGUCUCAUUCAGCUGCGAGCUGGAGAGCAGAGCCAGCGCAUCUCCCCCCAGCGGCCGCCAGGACAAGUCCCCCAGCGGCCUCCAGAAGCCCCCAGAAGACCUCCCCAGUGGCCUCCAGCAGACCCAGGUGUCUGCCCGGCCCCAGGUGCCGACGGCCCACCGGGAAAUUUCCCGGUAUCCCGGUGGGCUAGUCCGGCCCUGGGGGUCGCUUUGUGUGUGGAGAGAGGCAGGGAUAGGAAGUUCCAGCACAUUCCUCCCUGCCUAUCUCUACUCACUGAUCUGCAGGGGAGCAGCUACAGAGAGUCCAGACAGCAACUCCCACCCUGCAGAGACAGCCUACAGCUCAUGCAAGUGAGGGAUGGGGGGAAAGGUUUAAAGGAGACAUGGGGACACAUAGAUACUAAGGGACAUUGGCAGACAUUAUGACAGACACUUGGGGGCACUGGGAGACAUGGGGACACUGAGACACUAAGGGACAUUGGGAGACAUUAUGACACAGACACUUGGGGACAAAGAGACACAUGGGGACACAGUGUCCCCAUGUCUCCCAGUGUCCGUAUGUCUCCCAGCCAGUGUCCCAGGUGUCUCAGUGUCCCCAUGUCUACCAAUGCCCCCUAGUCUCCCAGUGUCUGUGUCCCCAUGUCUCCCAGUGCCUCAAAUGUCUCAAUGUCCCCAUGUCUCCCAGCUAGUGUCCCUAGUGUCUGUGUCCCUGGUGUCUGUGUCCACAUGUCUUCAAGUGUCCCCUAUUUUCCCAGUGUCCCCAUGUGUCCCAGCCAGUGUCCCCUAGUCUCCCAGUGUCCCUGGUGUCUCUGUGUUACCAAGUCUCCACGUGUCCCCAGGUCUUCCCAUGUUCCUAGUGUCCUAGUGACAUGGGGACCCUGGGAGACAUGGGGAAAUAGACACAAGUGAAUACUAGGGGACACAGGGAGACACGGGGCAUUGAGACACUGUGAAACAUAAGGUCACUGGGAGACCUGGUGACACUGGGAGACUAGGGGACACUAGGACAGUGGGAGACUAUACAGCAGUAUCAAACCAAGUAGUUUUUGGUGAUUUUACAGCAUUUUCUCUUAUGUCACUCCUUGUGAUUUACAUCAUGUGAUGUCACCCAUACAUAAUUAAUUAUGCAAAUUAGUAAGGCCGGUAUGUUUUUCCAAGAAAGGUGGCAACCCUAACUACUUUUCACAUACUCUUGCUUAAGUAUGGAAACUUAAGAGGGAUGUAUGGGAACAAAACUUGUGUGGCCAAUGAAAUGAGUUAAGGUAAUGCUGACUUUGGUCUCUCUAAUACUGUGGUAUGUUCCCUUUCUUCUACACUCACUACAUACAGCUUUUCUCUGUCUCAGACUGUAUACCAGGAGCUUCUGCCUGCUAGUAAGAAGGUAAAGAGACAAGUGGACCAGCGAGUGCUAGGGGACUGUCCUUAGAAAGCGUUGAGCGAGCGCAUCGUUAGAUGCAUUUAUGCCAAGCUCAGGGUGCUGUCUGCAUAGUAUGCCCUUAGUUGGCCAGCUUGCAUGAUUGGCAGGCAGCCUGACUUGCAUUCAUGCCAGGCUGGCCUUCCAAUUCUUUGGGCAUGUUCGCCCCUUUUGGCAGGUUACGUGAUUUGUGUCAGUGGCACACCCUUUUACUGCGCCCAUUGACUACCUGCUUAACUGGACACUGCUGUUUUGGGUUAUGGAUUUACUUGAAAGAUGAAAACAUAAAUUAGAGAGAGAUUAGCAUAGGGUAUGUGUUUUCUUAUAGCUGCUGUUUUUUUCCCUCAAGCACCAUCUCCAUCAGAUACAUGACACUUGGGAGUGUUUUAGUGUUUUUUGGUCGAUACGGUUCUGUAAUUAGGCCCAUCAUAAUUGUCAGCACCAGGGCUGUUAAUCUGGCCCUGCAUAAGGGAGAUGAGUGGAAAACAGCAUUUUGUUCCUGCUAAGGUCACCACAAAUAUGGUCAUGCCUUAUGGGCUGUGUAAUGCCCCUGCCUCCUUUUCGCAUUUUCUCAGUGACAUAUUCUGUGAUCUCCUUGACCAAUAUGUGGUCAUUUAAUUAGAUGAUAUUUGCAUACUCCUCUUCUCCAUGUCAUUUAAGUGUUGAAACGUUUACGAAAAAACAAUCUAUAUGCAAAAACGGAAAAAGAAUAUUUGCAACAGAGUGUGUGGAAUUUUUGGGCUCGUUCAUCAAACCAGGCAAAGUUGAAAUGGAUCCUCGAAAAGUGACCACCAUCCUUACAUGGCCCAUAUCCCAAAUCAAGAAACAAAUCAAUGAUUUGUGGGAUUUGCUCAUUUUUAUCAGAAAUUCAUCAGUAACUUUUCCAAAGUAAUCCAACCUCUCACUCAUCUUACCAAGAAAAAAACACAAUGGAACUGGACUCCAAAAGAACAGAAAGCAUUUGAUGAUCUAAAGGUCCUAUUCCCCACUGCAACUAUCCUUCAUUUACCUGAUACAGAAAAAUCUUACUUCCUGGAAGUUGAUGCAUCUAACUCGGUUAUUUGGGCAGUAUUAUUACAGAGAGACAGUUCAACUGGACAAUUGCAACCCAUAGCCUUUUACUGUCAUAAGUUGACCGAGGCAGAAUCUAAUUACGAUGUAGGAGAUAAAGAAUUACUGACUAUUAAAACAGCACUCGAAGAAUGGAGACAUCUACUGGAAGGGGCUAAAUACACCAUAAUUAUUUAUACCGAUCAUAAAAACUUGGAAAACGUCCAAACUGCUAAACGUCUCAAUCAAGCAAGGUGGGCGCUGUUCUUUUUGCGUUUUUCAUUUCUUAUCACCUACCGUCCUGGAUCAAAAAACUUAAAGGCUGAUGCUCUCUCCAGAAUUCACACAACUGACAGUUGUUGAAAAUCAAAACAGAAUGAAACCAUCCUACAGAAUCAUCACUUCGUUGGCCUCAUGUCUCAUAUCUUACAAGAAAUCCAAAAUACUACCCCUUCCAAUAAACUCCUGAAGUAAUAAUAUUGGGAAUUGACUGAUCACUACUGAGCAAAUUUGAAAUUAAUUUAAGUAGAUAGACAAGAUGGUGCUGGUCUCAUAAGCACAGACAGGCAGUGCACUAGACACAGGUCUGGAUGUGGCAGUUAAUAAUUAAGCUGACAGGAAUGACACAGCAUAAAACUGUGUAAAGUCAUAAAACACAGCAUCAGCAUGGCUCGACAUUGAGGGGCUGCGUACCAUCAUGAAAAUAGUAUAGUGCUAGACGAUAGAUAAGAGAUAAGCUAACCGCACAGACAUGACAUGACGUCUUUGGUGGGUCUUAUCAACCUGAUCAGCAGCCAGCCCCAUCCAACGUGUUUGACAGGUCUUUGUUGGGCUACACUGAUAAGAGAAUCUAAGGAGGACAUGUUCAGACUGCCCAUCCUUGUAAAAGGUAUAGAAGACGGGUCAACCUGACACUCAGAUGAGAGCUACCAACCUGCAUCGCAGACACAUGGUCCAGGUCCUCUGCUGUUUCCCAGCAGAGCAGGUCCCUCUUGCCUGACUGUCCAAGUUCUCCCAGUCGUGUGCAGUGAGACAAUGAACUACUCCUAUGGUGAUUUUAAGCUGAUACUUAAGCUGAUAUUGAUAUAUCAAGCUGAUUGACCAUUAAGCUGAAUGCAUGCACAAUUAAUAACCAAUAGAUGCAUUUUAAGAUUAGAGUGAUUUGGAUACAGCGUAUUCAAUAAAGUAUGAUGUUAAUUCUUAACUACUUCUUGGUUUCUUUGUAAUUUCAUUUGCCUAUUACUCAACCUCCUCAUCACGAAUAGGGAAGUGUGCCCGUCAGUAUCGCUACAGACCAUAUUAGGUGCUUAUUAGGCCUCAUUGGGUACUGAUGUUCACAAAUUUGGGGAUUAGGCACAACAACUCCCCAUUUCAUCUGAAGGCUAUCCUUUAUCAAAUUGGAAAAUCUAUGGGUACCGGAGAAAAAACGUCUGAGCGUACUGUACUACUUUCAUUACUCUCUUUUGGCUGGCCAUGGGGGACAAUGAAAACCACUUCAAAGCAUCCAACGACAAUUCUGAUGGCCCUCUCUCCAACAUGACAUCAACGAUUAUGUUGGAUAAUGCACAACUUGUGCUCGUGCUAAAGGUCACACAUCUAAAAUAGCUGGCUUACUACAACCCUUACCAGUACCAUCUAGACCCUGGAGCCAUCUUACAAUUGACUUCAUUGUAGAACUGCCACCAUCAUAAGGAUAUAAUACUAUUAUGGUUGUAGAUGAUCGCCUGGCAAAAAUGGCACACUUGAUUACUGCGAAAGGACUCCCUACUGCUAAACAAACUGCCUCUCUUUUCCUUGAUAAUAUCUUCCAACUACAUGGGGUACCCGAAUCUUUUCUCUCGGAUAGAGGAACACAAUUUACUUUCCGUUUCUGGAGAGCGUUUUGUCAAUCUCUCAAGAUUCCAGUAGACCUUUUGAUUGCCUUUCAUCCCCAAUCAAACGGACAAACUGAAAAGACAAAUCAAACUCUAGAAACAUAUCUCUGCUGCUUCUGUACCCACUUACAAUUUGAUUGGAAAAAUGUGCUCACUACAGCUGAGUUCGCUUACAACUCCAAGCAGUAUGGUUCCACCCACAGUUCUCCUUUCAUGUUAAACUAUGGUUUCCAUACAAAUACUCUUCCCGGGAGUCCUUCCCUCACUCCAGUUCCAGAUGUCACUGCUCACUUACAACAAUUUACACAAAGAUUCCAACAAGCUCAACAAAUAUUACAGGAAAACCAACGAAUAUACAAAAAAUAUGCUAGUCUCAAAAGAACAACACCCCCUGUAUACAAGGAGAAUCAACUUGUUUGGCCACGAAACAUCUAAAAUUAUCUUGUCCAACCAAAAAGUUAGGUCCCAGAUACAUAGGACCUUUGUAUUCCCAAACUUAUUUGCCUGUUGUAGUACGUUUUGAACUACCACAUCAGUGCCAUAUUCAUCCUUCUUUUCACGUUUCACUAAUUAAGCCUGUUAAAGAAAACCCUUUUCCUACCCGAGACAUACCACCACCCAAUCCCGUCAUGAUAGACAGUGAAGCUGAAUAUAAAGUAGAAGAAAUUAUGGAUUCAUGAAGACGAAGAGGGAAUUUGGAAUACCUCAUCCAUUUAAAGGGCUAUGGUCCUGAGCAGAGAUCCUGGGAACCUGCAAAGAAUGUACACGUCCUUUCAUUCUUCACAUCCAGAUUGUCCAGCACCCUAAUUGUGGAGACAUGCGGCAUCAUAGAGGGGGGCUACUGACACGGCCACACCUACCUGUAGGUCACUUACCACAUCUCCGCCCACGGCUAAGGCAAUCUCCUCUCAGUACACGCCAAGGACUCCAGCUUGCCUAGCGACGUGUGCAGUCAACCGGCAUCCCUGCAAACACAUAGACGCAGUACCACAGCUCUCCACAACAUGCGGUGAUCCGCUUGAAGUCCCAGCCAAAACCAUGUGUAAUUUCACUUUCACUAGGCACAUGCGCCUGAACGCUGGCCUCUUAAAGGGACAGUACUCCUGAACACCUGAAAUAGUUUAAAGGACUAAUCACUUUUUAACCAACAGAAUGUGAGAGAUGGAUAAUCUCAGUCUACCUCUACCUCAUUGCUCAGUAAUACAGUGCUUACUGUGGUGUUAACUUCAGUGUGCCUAUCCUGCCUUGUUUGAUUUAUCUGGUACCUGAUCCUACACCUGUUUAAUCAUCUCUAAACCCAUGCCGCUUGACCUGACCCCUGGCUUUCCUCAACUACGACACUGGUUUUCCCUUUGAUACUUUGUCUUGGCUGAUAACCAUAGGCAAUCAGCCUGUGCAAAAUGAAUGAAUUUGGACCAAUAUGGGUCAAUGCAUAAUUAGAGUCUUCAUAUUGCAUCAAUAAUGACAUACGAUACCCACUAUCUAAGGCUUCUUUAAAGUCCAUUCUGGUGACAUCCUCUGGACUUUGUCAGGGACCUCUUUUUGCAGCGUAUAUAUCAGCACGCCCCAAUCCUAGAGUUGACGUCGGCCUCUCACUGGAGGCGUGAUGGAGUGCGGGGUGCUUUGAUGAUGGGCAAGAAGCUUUUCUGGUGUCCCCAUUGGUACUGCAUAUUGUUGGCAGAGGGCUGAGGUAAUGGGUGACAUGGUCAAUGGAUAGGUCCGCAAUUGCUUUAAUAGUGGUGUAAGGUUCAGGCAGGGUUGAUUUCCUAGCUGUAACCUGUAACUGUAGCUGUAACCACGCUUCUGAUAUACAAUGGCAGCCUUUGACUGAUUCUUAUGAAUCCUUGUAGGCAUCAGUAGGAAUCCCACCAGGGGUGCUAGGAGCUUAAUCGUGGUUUACAAAGAGUUUAUGCUGGCUCUAUAAUGAGAGUCAGGGCCUGUGGGCGGCAUCUUGACACUUCCAGCAUGAAUGCUCUCAGUGUGCUGGUACUUACCACAGAGUCAAGUGUUUUUGUAAGCUGAGUAACUUCCCACCAAGGUGGUCCCCAUAGAGGAAUGUCCCCAUGGCCUGAACUCUGUUAAGCCUCCCAUGGAUGCUUCUAUGGCUAGAUAGGUAUGGAUACAGAGCUCUUAUUUUGGGGGUGGUGUCGCCUUUGUGUCACAACUGCUAGUGUGGUCCAGCACGCAGAACUAUGUAACAUCUACAUAGACAGAACAGAAAAUGAUAGAACGUAAACCGGUCCUUAGAAUGGCCCGACUAAUACGUUAAAGACAAAAAAUGGUUAAGGGAUAGUCGAGGUCAAGGAAGCCAGAAAUACACAAUACUGUUAAACAAGCAAGUCAGGGAAGCCAGAAAUCAGAGUAGUCAGGAAUAGCCAAGGUCAAAAUACCGGAAUAGCAAUAACAGGAAAAGAAAAUGCACUCUCGGGAACCAGGACAGGAAACCACAACAGGGCAAAGAACUGGAAAGCUUAAGGGAUUUAAAUAUCCCUCCUUAGACUGUAAAUGGUUAGACGUGUGUGUUGGCGUUGUGACGUCACACACACGUUCGUGUAACCCUGCGGGGCGGAGUCAUCGAUAGCCGCGACCGCAUGGUCGGUGCCAUCUUUAUUUCGGGCAGGCUGCCAGGAAGACCCGGUGGAGCGGCUCCCGACUCAACGCUGAGCAGGUAAGCUCAGUCUGUCGUGCCAGUCGGGUGCGAUCGCACCUCGCGGCAAGCCGGGGGCUGUGACACUUUGCCUGGUGUUGGUGGGGUUCAGUGAGGACAUUUCUAAGGUUUCCUUAGCAAUUUUGAGGAUCCCCUAUUUUCCAACCUUUAAGAUUAGAUCCCAAGAAGUCCCCCGGUUUCCACCUAUAUGGAUUUAUAUACCAGAGGUCCAGUGGAUUUAUAUACCAGAGGCUGUGUAUUGCUAAAUAAGUAUUCAGAUAGUCACAGCUAGUUAGUAAUAAGAGAAAAGAAAUAGGUUCUAGUGUCAGUAAAAUACUGGCAUAAAGUUAAACUGUUACAAAGAUUCUCUCCCUGUUAAUCUUACUAAAUAAACAUAGGAAAAAGUAGAGGUGAAAAUAAAUAUUUAAAGUACCAUGCUAAAUCAAAAGUGAAUCAAAAUCAAAGUGAGAAAGUGAACACUAAAAGCUUCAAACGCCGACGAUCGUUUUGGAGCAAUGCUACAUGCACCUUUGUUAGGGGCGUUUCUCCAUUAUAUGAGGAAUUUAUCCCUUUAGUGUAUUGGCAGAUUGACAAUAGAGGUGUCUAACCACCUAUAUUCAGAUACCACCCAUACCAUACUUCUGGACCACUGAGACGCAGCCCGUUUGUGUUGGGUCACAGUAGGUUCAUAUUGAUUAUAUUUUCUGCAUAAUCCUACAAAGAAACUAUUCAAAUACCACCCAUACCAUUCCUGGUUCUUAUACUCAACUAGAGCCAUUUUAAUAAAGCUCUUUUUAAAUCAUUUUUAACCAGGAAGGAGAUUGAGUCUAUGAUCAGAGUCUCUUUUCUAUACAUAGGAGUUAACCUUAUAAGGUUGUGAUUGCACUGACUGGAUGUACUCUAUAGCUUCCUAAUCUCUAGAUACCUACCCUUACUUUAGUUCACAUUUUUCCCUAUAAUACCUACAACUGACCACUAUAUAUUUUCAAGUAGGGGAUCCAGGGCCUGCAUAUAUUCUACUGCAUAUCUGACUACUAUAUUUCCAAGUAGGGGAUCAUGUGUACCUGCAUAUCUUCUUUUUAUUUGUAACUCUCUGUGUAGGAUUAGCCUACCUGAAAUGGCCAUCAAUAUGAGAGGCUACUAGAGGCACUUCUGUGAAAUAACAAAUUGUCUCAGAGUUUGGCUCAGCAUGUGCCUUAGCCUCUAUUGCUUUCAUAUGGAAAAGCAUUGGAUUGGAUGAGAUCAUUAAUAAAUCUCAGCAAAAUAGGUGGACUUUGAGCAAGGAGACCAGCGCUGCGAGUGAUAAUAAUUAAGUACACAACCGUUCCAAACCCUGGCAGCACUUGCCUUGUGACCUAAACGUGACUAUGGCACUAUAGCAUUAGAAUCCAUAUUUGUUCAGUUUGACUAGAAGUAUCUACCAGUCUUUUUCACUAAAUUCAAAGGUUGUUAAAGGGUUUUUAUUAUGUUUACUUAUCCCCAUAUUUUUACAAAAACACUUGUGAUGUGUGCCCUGGGAAAUGUUGUGUUUUAUUGCAGAUGAUUUAAUCUGUGUGUUUAGGGGAUGUAGUAUAUGUGUAUAGGAGAUGCAGUGUGAAUAGAGGAUGCAGAGUGUAUGUGUGUAAGGAAUACAUGCAGUGUGUGCUUCUUAGUAAGGUAUGCAGUUUGUGUGUGUGGGUAAGGGAUGCACUGUGUAUUUCUGUGUGGGUAAGGGACACAGUGUGUGUUAUUGUUUGUCUGUAAGGGACAGGGCCGCCAUCAGGGCAUGACAACCGUGACAAUUGUCACGGGCCCGGCGGCCCUGGGGGGCCCGGCCCCCACGUGGAUCAGCGGAACUGCCGCCGGUGCAUCUGCACCGGGGCCCACACGCUGAUGCGGCCCAUCAGGUGGCCCCAAUCAUUUAGGGCCACCCAAUGGGCCCUAUUAUCUUCAGGGGCCCGUUUAGCGCUGUAAUAGCGCGACCGGGCCCCUUUAAAAAAUAAAUAAAAUGCAGCCGGAAGCAAGUGCUGCUGGGAGGAAGUGACGUCCGGUCACUUCCUCCCACUUUACUCCGCGCGGGAAGGAGGACGCAGCAUGAGGAGAGGCAGCCGAUGCCCAUCAUCCCCAGCCACCCUCCUGCGACGAAAUGGUAAGGAAGAGAGGAGGGUGGCUGGGGAUGAAGUGUAUGUGUGUAUGCCAGUGUAUGUGUGUGUGUGUAUGCCAGUGUAUGUGUGUAUGUAUGCUGGUGUAUGAAUGCCAGUGUGUGUGUGUGUAUGCCAGUGUCUGAAUGCCAGUGUAUGUGUGUCUGAAUGCCAGUGUGUGUAUGCCAGUGUGUGUAUGCCAGUGUAUGUGUGUGCCAGUGUAUGUGUGUAUGAAUGCCAGUGUGUGUAUGCCAGUGUAUGUGUGUGCCAGUGUGUGUGUAUGAAUGCCAGUGUGUGUAUGCCAGUGUAUGUGUGUGCCAGUGUGUGUGUAUGAAUGCCAGUGUGUGUAUGUGUAUGUGUAUGCUGGUGUAUGAAUGCCAGUGUAUGUGUGUAUGCCAGUGUCUGAAUGCCAGUGUGUGUGUGUGUGUGUGUAUGCUGGUGUAUGAAUGCCAGUGUAUGUGUGUGUAUGCCAGUGUCUGAAUGCCAGUGUGUGUAUGCCAGUGUAUGUGUGUGUGUAUGCUGUGUGUAUGAAUGCCAGUGUGUGUAUGCCAGUGUAUGUGUGUGUGUAUGCUGGUGUAUGAAUGCCAGUGUAUGUGUGUGUAUGCCAGUGUCUGAAUGCCAGUGUGUGUCUGAAUGCCAGUGUAUGAAUGCCAGUGUGUGUAUGCCAGUGUAUGUGUGUGUGUAUGCUGGUGUAUGAAUGCCAGUGUAUGUGUGUGUAUGCCAGUGUCUGAAUGCCAGUGUAUGUGUGUCUGAAUGCCAGUGUAUGAAUGCCAGUGUAUGAAUGCCAGUGUGUGUAUGCCAGUGUAUGUGUGUAUGAAUGCCAGUGUAUGUGUGUAUGAAUGCCAGUGUAUGUGUGUGUGUAUGCUGGUGUAUGAAUGCCAGUGUAUGUGUGAUGCCAGUGUCUGAAUGCCAGUGUAUGUGUAUGUAUGCCAGUGUGUGUAUGCCAUUGUGUAUGCCAGUGUAUGUGUGUGCCAGUGUGUAUGCCGGUGUAUGAAUGCCAGUGUAUGCCAGUGUGUGUAUGCCAGUGUAUGUGUGUAUGAAUGCCAGUGUAUGUGUGUAUGUAUGCCAGUGUGUGGAUGCCAGUGUAUGUGUAUGUAUGUAUGCCAGUGUAUGAAUGCCAGUGUAUGUGUGUGUAUGCCAGUGCCAGUGUGUGUAUGUAUGCCCAUGUAUGCCAGUGUAUGUGUGUGUGUAUGUAUGCCAGUGCGUGUAUGCCAGUGUGUGUCUGUAUGCAUGCCUGUGUGUGUCUGUAUGUAUGUAUGUAUAUGCCUGUCGGUAUGUAUGUAUAUAUCAAUAUGCAGUAUGUAUAUGUAUGUUUGUCAGUAUGUAUGUCUGCUUGUAUAUGUGUGUGUGUCUCAGCAUCUCCCUAUGCAUGUGUGUAUGUCUGUUUCAGUAUUUGUAUCUGUUAGAGUGUGUGUGUUCCUGUGGGCGGGAUUUGGAGGCAGGCUUGAAGGGGGGCCCAGACCUUGAGCUGUGUUAGGGGCCCCAAAAUUUGUGUGUGUAUGUAUGCCAGUGCGUGUCUGUAUGCAUGCCUGUGUGUGUCUGUAUGUAUGUAUGUAUGCCUGUCGGUAUGUAUGUAUAUAUCAAUAUGCAGUAUGUAUAUGUAUGUUUGUCAGUAUGUAUGUCUGCUUGUAUAUGUGUGUGUGUCUCAGCAUCUCCCUAUGCAUGUGUGUAUGUCUGUUUCAGUAUUUGUAUCUGUUAGUGUGUGUGUAUUCCUGUGGGCGGGAUUUGGAGGCAGGCUUGAAGGGGGGCCCAGACCUUGAGCUGUGUUAGGGGCCCCAAAAUUUCUGAUGGCGGCCCUGGUAAGGGAUACAUUGUGUGAUUAUAUGUGUGUGCAAGGGAUGCAUUGUGUGAUUCUAUGUAUGUGUAAGGAAUGCAUUGUAUAUGUAUGUGUGUGUGUGUGUGUGUGUGUGUGUAAGGGAUGCAUACUGUGUUUCUACGUGUAAGGGAUUCAUUGUGUGUUUCUGUGUAAGGGAUGUAUUGUUUGUUUCUGAAUGCGUAAGGGCUGCAUGUCUUUCUAUGUGCAGUUUGUGUAAGGGUAGGAUAAGGCUGAGUUUUGUGGAGGAUGAGAGCAGCUUUUUAUUUUUAUUUUAAUAUUAUUUGCUGAGCCGUCUAUAAUAGUAAUAGGACCCUGGCCCCAGGGCUGGAUUAACAUAGGGGCUGAUGUCAUCCAUACAUAUUUAAUUAUGCAAAUUAGUAAGGCCGGUAUGUUUUUCCAAGAAAGGUGGCAACCCUAACUACUUUUCACAUACUCUUACUUAAGUAUGGAAACUUAAGAGGGAUGUAUGGGAACAAAACUUGUGAGGACUGGCUGACAAUGAAUAUAGUUAAAGGGACACUAUAGUCACAAAAACAACUACGGCUUAUUGAAUUUGUUCUGGUUAGUAGAAUCAUUACCUUCAGGCUUUUUGCUGUAAACACUGUCUUUUCAGAGAAAAUGCAGUUUUUAAAUUACAGCCUAGUGAUAACUUCACUGGCCACUCCUUGGAUGGCUGUUAGAGAUCCUUCCUGGGUCAUGGCUGCCUAAAAUACAUCCAAACAUUCAGUGUCUCCUCCCUCUGCAUGCAGACACUGAACUUUCCUCAUAGAGAUUAAUUUAUUCAAUUCAUCUCUAUGAGGAGAUGCUGAUUGUCCAGGGCUGUGUUUGAAUCAUGCUGGCUCUGCCCCUGAUCUGCCUCUUUGUUAGUCUCAGCCAAUCCUAUGGGGAAGCACUGUGAUUGGAUCAGGCCACCACUUCUAAUGAUGUAACUCUGCAUAAGUCUAACAGCAUGCAGACUUACAGCUGCAGGCUUGAAUACAGUAAGAUUUUUACUAUAUUUAUGGAGGCAUGAGGGGCCCAGGGGGGUUAGAUGGUGGUGUUAACAGUAUAGGGUCAGGAAUUCAUGUUUGUGUUCCUGACCCUAUAGUGAUCUUUUAAGGUAAUGCUGACUUUGGUCUCUCUAACACUGUGGCAUGUUCCCUUUCUUCUACACUCACUACAUACAGCUUUUCUCUGUCCCAGACUAUAUACCAGGAGCGUCUGCCUGCUAGUAAGAAGGUAAGGAGAAAGUGGACCAGCGAGUGCUAGGGGACAGUCCUUUAGAAAGCGUUGAGCGAGCGCAUCAUUAGAUGCAUUUAUGCCAAGCUCAGGGUGCUGUCUGCAUAGUAUGCCCUUAGUUGGCCAGCUGCAUGAUUGGCAGGCAGUCUGACAUGCAUUCAUGCCAGGCUGGCCUUCAAAUUCUUUGGGCAGACAUGUCCUCUUUUUGGGCAUGUUCGCCCCUUUUGGCAGGUUACGUGAUUUGUGUCAGUGGCACACCCUUUUACCAUGCCCAUUGACUUCCUGCUUGUCUGGACACUGCUGUUAGGGGUUAUGGAUUUACUUGAAAGAUGAAAACAUAAAUUAGAGAUAGAUUAGCCUAAGGUAUGUGUUUUCUUAUAGCUGCUGUUUUCUUUCUCUCCAGCACCAUCUCCAUCAGAUACAUGACGCUUGGGAGUGUUUUAGUGUUUUUGGUCAAUAUGAUUCUUUAAUUAGGCCCGUCAUAAUUGUCAGCACCAGGCCCACUGGGCUGUUAAUCUGGCCCUGCCUGGCCCCCUGGACUCUGCCCCCCCACCAGCCUCUACUCCCUGGCAUGCAAUCACACUUUUCACCCUAACGCAGUGGGGGGAACUAAAGUAGAGAGGUGCAAGACAUACUUAUACAAUCAUAUACACUGACAGACAUACUGAUACAUACACACACAGACAAACAUACUGACACAUAUAUUCACUGACAGAUAUUUUAAAACACAGACGCACUGACACACACAUAUACUGACAGACAUACUGACACACACACACACUGACAGACAUGCUGACACAUGUAUUGACACACACACUAACAGACAUACUGACACACAUUCACACACGUUUACAGAAACAUCCAUUGACACAUACUGACACACACAGAAACAUCCACUGACAAACACGACACAUAACUAACAGACAUACUGACACACACACUGACAGAGAUACUGACACACGCAUAGACUGACACAGACACUGACAGGCAUACUGACAGACAUACAGAAAGACAUACAGACACACAGACACAUAACUGACAGACAUACUGACACACACAGACACAUAACUGACUGACAUACUGACACACAUACACACACACUGACAGACAUACUGACACACACAGAAACAUACACUGUCAGACAUACUGACACACAAAGACAGACAUACUGACACACACACACACUGACAGACAUACUGACACACACAGACACAACUGACAGACAUACUGACACACACAUACACUGACAGACAUAUUGACACACACAGACACAUAACUGACAGACAUACUGACACACAUUCACACACGUUUAAACCUACAAUCCCGUUACCAAACUUGAACAGUGCUUUUCCUGGUGUCCAGAGUGGUGGCUGAGGCUGUUGUGAGUUAGGGAUGGCGCUCCUGGCAGCUGCUUUGGGGCCCCUCGGAGUAGGGAUCGACCGAUUAUCGGUAUCGUCCUAUAGAGAUACCAAUAUUGUUGAUAAUACAUGCUAGGACCGCCAGGCCCAUUACAAGCCCAGCGGUCCUGGGGGGCUCAGCAAGCUUUUACUUACCUUCCCAGCAGCUCCCUUCAGCUCCCCUAUGUAAAUCUUGUGAGUUGCGCGGCCGUCAGAGUGUUGCCACAGGUUACCAUGGCAAUGCUCCACGCACCACGCAGACCGCGAGAGUUAGACAAGGGAGCUGCUGGGACGGUAAGUAAGAUCUUGCACGGUCCUUGCCACCGGACCACCAGGGAAUGCCAUAGCCCCCCUCCCUGGCCAAGUAAGAAGCAGAGAGGGGGGACUAAAAAUGUAUUUAAAAAAAUAUAUAUUUUAAUAAAAUUAAAAAUGCCCCCCCCCCAUUUUACACAAAUUACAUACCUACAGAAACACACACUCAUACUCUGCAUUAUAUACACACAACACAAACACACUGCAUUCACUACACAAACACACUGCAUACACUACACACACUGGAUUCACUUUACACACACUACAUUCACUAUACACACACUACACAAACACACACACUCUGCAUUCAGUAUAUAUACACACUACACAAACACUCACUGCAUUCACUAUACACACUACACAAACAUCCUGUUAGGAGGUGUCCUACUUAUAUUAAGUAUAAUAUACUUUCUUAUUGCUCUAUGUGCACCCCCCUUGUAUUCUUUUUUCUAUCACUUUGUAUUUGAGUGCCAUUCAGUGAUUUUGGGCACUGGGGGUAGUUGCAGAUUCUCUGGCUCUAUAGCGCCAAUCCACCAUUUCUUGUAUUGUUAUUAUAUACACACUACACAAAUACAUACUGCAUCCACUACACUUACACUACACAAACAUACACAGCUCCCCUGUCUAAACACACUGCAUCCACUACAUAUGGCAUGUAUAUUUUGUGCAUUUAACUUUAAAAAUAGUUUAUUUUUUCAAAAUGGUAAAUGUACAGAAUAUCGGGAAGUUAUCAGCUAUCGGCCUGAAAAUUCACAGAUUAUCAAUAUCAGCUCUAAAAAAAAUCAAUAUUGGUCGAUCCCUACCCCGGAGUAUCUGGACCGAGGGGUGUUUGCCCCGCGUUAAAGACAGCCCUGAUUAUUUGAUUUACCCCUUCCUGUUUCUUACCUGUGGCCAGGGAGGGGAGACAGAACAUUCCCUGGUCAUUCUGUGGUGCUGUAGAGGCUUUCAUCCUUUACCUGGAGCUUUGCAGUAGUAGCAGGGUGUAAGACAAUACUUAGAAUGAACAGUGCAAUUAGCUUGCCCUUCAAUGGGUCCCCACUAGAUCUCAUUCUGGAUGUAGGUCAAACGAUCGUUUUGGCCUUGUUAGGCCUAACAAUCGUCUAUUGUUGCUGUAUCUCUCGUACAGAGAGAUCCAAGCUGCAUUUCGGAUUUGUACUGAGCUUUUUAUUGGGAUCAGUCUGAUAUGCAAAUGACACAAGAUGAGCUAAAACCAGUGUGAGGUCUACCAAAGCGCAGGCUACUUGGAACUGUUGUCUACUCUAAGUACUCUCUUGCACCUUGUAUUUUUAUUUUUUUGCUCUCUAUAAAACAUACAAGAAAUAUACACAAAAAAAAGAAACAAGCAAGAAGGCGCUAAAAUUUAAAAUACAAUGGUAAAAUAUAUGCGUGUAAAAAAGGUAAAGCGGCACCUUACCAGUGAAAUAGCUCAAAAACAACCAAUUAACCGAAUACAAAAUAAAAAAGGUGUGCUAUACCUUUAAAAUCUAAAAGAGUGCAACACAGUGCAAAAGUGUCCGUGCAUUACACAAUAUAGUGCAAAACAGUACAAAAUCAAUCAUUUAAGUAAGUGUAAAAAUUCACAAGUGUAUUAAGUGAUAAAUAUACUAGAGAAACUUACUAAUAGUAUCCUAAAAUAGGAGUGUCACAAUAUUCCUUCCAGGGAUACAUAGGAACGUAAUACAUAAAAGAGAAAAAGGGAAAAAAAUGAAAUAAAACUUGUAACGGAGCUGCAAUAUUAAAUCCCAAUAUCUCCGCUGGUACAGAAAGUAAUCCAAGUAAAGUGCUGAAAAUGAAGGCAAUAUCCCAAAUCCCCCAGUAACCGGACGAAACACAGUUCUGGGAGUCAAUCGACGAUUUUAUUCACAAGCUCCAGUAUUUAUGUGGUUCCCCAUGCAAGGGGUUUCCUUAAUUACUUUACAGGGGUUGUACAGUAGGGGACUACAUGGGGAAACUUAACAUAUAGAACAUUUCUCCCACCAUGCACUGCUGUACGAGAGGGAUACUCCCACUAGAAUAUCCUGUAGUGGAUUAUCCCUCCGUACGGCAGAACCGGCUUUUUACAUAAAAAUCCAUAACUUUCAUUUUAUUCAUGUCACUGUACCGAAUGACCGUUCAGCAGAUAGCUGGGGUCUGAGUGCACACUUAGUGAAAGUACCGCUCAGAUCCCAGCACAAUCAGCCAAACGCCGCACGAAAUAUACUUUAACAUACAUUCAUCAUAAAAGACACAAAUACAUAAUUGAGGAAAAAGUACCGAAAGACCGGCACUCCCGAACGGCCUGGAAGUCCAGUGGUGUUCGUGCCGUCGAGUAGCCGAUUUUAGUUCCAGGCACGCGACACCAAGCACCGCUGGGCAAAAGGGAAAUCCAAGAUGGCCGCCGCCUCGUGGUCGGUAGUCGAACGAUGGCCACCCGGGAAAUCAAUUAGCAGCCGAUUGCUACAAUGUUGCAAUCGGUUAAUGGGAGUCACACAACCCCCUGUGUGUGGGCUCCCAUUCAGUACUUUGUUCAUUUCACGAACAGUGUGGACAGUCACUGUUCGUGAAACUACCAUAUGAAUGCUCUCUAUUACAGUUAUCAGCAAAUACAUAAACUAAUACAAUUGGACCAGCUUUCUAGGACAACCUUUAGACAAAUAACAGCACAAUCUAAAGUGGCUAGGUUUGCCACAAAACUCACAAUGAGAGAGCAGUAAAAGUCUGCUCUAACUUCUCUGUCUUAAGUCCUAAAUACAGGACUGGAUAUUGGCAGGUAAUCAGGACGGCAGCUGAAUAUAAAAGUAUGCUUUAUUUCCACAUAAAUGAAAGUUCACAUGUGAUACCGCUCUUUAUCCCAUGUAGAAGUUCAUACCCCUUAGUAGUACAGUCUUUCAAAACUGCGACUAGCACUAGCGGUCUUGCAAAGUUGUCAGCACUGCAGGGAGUUCUUCGUACAACCACGUGAUGGCGUGAUGGCGUGAUGGCGUUGUACACACAAACAUGAUGACGCAUUUCACCUGGGCGGCUUCCUCAGAUCACGUCACAGUUCAGCUGUCCUGUUCUUUUGAAGCUGCCAUAAUGGACGUGGUGUGUAAUGGUCUCUUCGUCAUUGGCUCUUACUAGUAACUCAAAGUCUGAGUGACUGCAUAUUUUAAUGCAAAUGUACAAAGUCCACAAUUUUUUGGCAUUUCACCUUAACAUUGUUUCUGACAAAAAUCACGAAACAAUGAAGUGUCCCAGACAUUACAUAAAAAAAAAAAAUAUGUAUAUAUAUAUAUAUAUAUAUAUAUAUAUAUAUAUAUAAAGGACAUCAAAAUACAUAAUAUAUAUUUAAAGAAAGACAAAAUACACUUAAAAAACAUGGCAGUGAAAAAUUAAAAAACACUAAGAACCUACUUAGAAGGAGAGAAAAAAAAGGGCAUUAAUAUUGCAAACAAUAUAUAUCUGAUGGUGUAAUAUAUUAAAUGCCUAAAAUGGGCAGUAAUAAAUAUUUGUUUAUAAAAGAUUAUUCAUUUAUAAAUCUUUUUUACAAAAAUGUAUAAAAUAUUUAUAUAAAUCAAAUUCUAUAUUAAGUCCUUUAGGUUCAAGAAUCUCUAAAUUGUGUAACCACUUCAUCUCUUCUUUCCCUAUCUGUUGUAUGUAAUUUCCUCCUUGCCAGGAUUUUUUAACUAUUUGUAUCCCUAAAAAAGUUAAGCUACUAGGGUCUUUAUUGUGGUACUUAUUAAAAUGUGCAGAGACGCUAUGUCGAUCGAAGCCUUUUCGGAUAUUGUUAAUAUGCUCAUAUAUCCUUUUAUGUAAAGGAUGAAUGGUCCUACCAACAUAUUGGAACACACACUGCAUCCACUACACACACACACACUGCAAUCAAACAUUACAUACAAACACACCCCUGCAUUAAAACACUAAAAUGAACUACAAACACCCCUUCAUUCAAACACCAACACUACACACAAAAAGCACACCUGCAUUUAAAGUCCUACACUACAUAUACAAACACCCCUGCAUUCAGACGCAAACAUUACAAACAAGUACACUACUACAUUCCAAUAGCAACAGUACAUACAAAUACACCCAUACAUGCACACAUAUAUUUAAUACAAAAACAUGCUUACAUUCAAACACUGCUCACAAAUAUAACCCUGCAAUGAUGUGCAAAUGGUAGAUCCCCAUCUGGUAUAGCAUUGUUGAAGUUCUUCGACAGAUGGAGAUCUACCUUUUGGCUACACUUUCACUAGAGGGGGGCCCAGAAAACAUACUUGCACCAGGGUCCUCUCUACAUUAGUUCUACCACUGGGAUAAUCAACGUGAGGUGCCUGGAUGAAAGAGCAGGACAACAGCACUUCUGAUACUGAGUCUGUGAGUAAGCAGUUGUAUGUCUCUAAAACUGAUUGCCAUGAUGUGCAAAGUUUCUGCCUCUAAAACUGCCAUGAUAUAUCAAAAGUAUGCCUCUAAAACUGCCAUGUUAUGCCAAUUUUAUGCAUCUAAAGCUGAUUGCCAUGGUGUACCAAUUUUGUGCCUCUAAAACUGAUUGCCAUGGUAUGCCAAUUGUAUGCAUCUAAAGCGGAUUUCCACGGUGUGCCAAUUGUAUGCAUAUAAAGCGGAUACCACGGUGUGCCAAUUGUAUGCAUCUAAAGCGGAUUGCUAUAGUUUGCCAAUUGUUUGCCUCUAAAGCUGUUUGCCAUGGUGUGCCAAUUUUAUGCCUCUAAAAGUAAUUGUCAUGGUGUGCCAAUUGUGUGCAUCUAAAGCGGAUUGCUAUGGUGUGUCAAUUGUAUGCCUCUAAAGCUGUGUAAACUUUGUAUCCAAAAGCAGUGAUCACAGUAACAUAUCUUCAAAGAUACAAACCAAGCAAAGAAAGUGCAACACAGUUUAUUAAUAUCAUGUAAAAAUGAAACUCCAAAUCCUUUAAAAAACUCAUACACAGUAAAAAAAGAUUGUAUUUAAAUCCUACUUUCCAUCUAAGGAUCCAAACAGAGUCCAGAAUAUGUAGCAGAUAAGCAGUGUGCUGAAAGUAUUACCACUCCGUUGGUGCAGUAGAAAUCCAGAAAAUGUCCAAGGAUCUAGCCGAAAUGCUGCAAGUUCAAAUGGAGGGAUGUCAAAGCACUUACUGCCAAAGGUGUCUGCCUGGAAAGAUAAGAUGAAAGGCUUCUAACUGAUCGAUGAGUAACAAUGCUGAAUAUUUCACUGUAUAUGCCUGUUUGAAUCAUGAAACAUGAUUCACAUUUAAACCAUGUAAGGGUUUUUAACCUAAUAAGUAAUAGCAUUGUAUAUAGCUUUUUGUAUCUUUUUAACAUAUCUAGAUAUAUCUACUGUUGAACAUCUUGCUUGAUUGGACAUUUUGCAACAUUACUACCGUUUUAUUACCAGUUUUAUUUGCAUUUUGUAAUUAUUACAUGCUAAUGUGAAUGUAUUAGUUUGUUUUUUUACUCAGCUAGGUUUUAUAACGCUGCUAGGUAUUAUCUAUAAUACGGGGGGCAUAGCUACUAAACACUUAUAUAACUGUUUUCAUGUAUAGGAAGAGAACUUCCUAACACACCGGAGGGCCUCUUGCUGCUUCAACUGCCAACAGAACUCUCCAAAACUCAGAGACAUUUAGACUUUCGUAUCUUAAUAGCAGCUCUCUAUAUAGGCACCCAGACCACUUCAGCUCAAUGAAGUGGUCUGGGUGCCAGGUCCAUCUAGGGUUAACUCUGCAGCUGUAAACAUAGCAGUUUCAGAUAAACUGCCAUGUUUACAUUAGGGUUAAUCCAGCCUCUAGUGGCUGUCUCAUUGACAGCCGCUAGAGGUGCUUCCGCGCUUCUCACUGUGAAAAUCACAGUGAGAAGACGCUGCCAUCCAUAGGAAAGCAUUGAGAAAUGCUUUCCUAUGGACUGAUUGAAUGCGUGCAUUCGGCGGAUGACUUCGGAAGAGGGAGGAGAGUCCCCAGCGCAGAAGGAGCCUGGCACUGGAAAACGGUAAGAGCUUAACCCCUUAACCCCGGCGGGAGGGGGUUAUGAGGGUUGGGGGAACCUAUUAACUAUUGGCAUAGGUGGUUUUCCUGGCACUCUAGUGGUCCUUUUAUAGCAAGAAAUUGGGCAGCAACUACAUCACUAGAGAUACCUGAAGUUUUUAAUUUUAUAUCCGUAAACUGUAAAUAUUAAAGAAUGAUUAGGGCAGUUACCAACUAGAGGGACUUCUGGAAAGAGGCAUGGGACAUUUGGUCAAGUAAAUCAUACUUCUCUAGAAAACUUUACACCCCAUAACCCAUGUUGGGCUUGCAGUUUGUCUGUGCUUGUCCAAAAAAAAUAAACACAUGUACUAGUAGUUUCAACUAUUUUUUAUUUAAUUUGCUUGAAUUUUUUGUACAUCUCUUGAUUGCUACAGUAUUAUGAGGUGCUGUCCAACUCCCCUCACUCUCUUGCCUAAACAACCUAAUAUUUUCCAUAUUUUCUAUGUUUACCCCUUUUCUUUUCCGAGUUCUCCCCCACUAAGGAGCAUUAUGUUAUUCAACGAAAGCUAAAUUCUCAUGGUGUCAGAUGAAACCUUACGGAAUAUACAUACUUAUAUCGUUACUCUGUACACGAGACUAUGUUGUAUAACACCACAGAUUUGUAUUUAUAUGUUUUGAAUUGUGGAAUAUAAUAUGCUAUGCUACAAAGUAUGUUGCAAUAUUUGAUGCUCUUUGGGGAAAAAAAACAAAUAAAAAGCAAUUUGAUUAAAAGAAAAUUACGUUUUGAGGUGACAGUUGUUCUUUAAGAAAGUUGAUGUGAGUUAUUGGUCUAGAAAGGUUGAUGAACCUCAGAAGAUUAAGACUUGACAGUACUUGGGCAGUAAUAGAUCUGAAGGUAAGUGGGAAAAAAAAGCCAAAUGGAAACAUGUCUGCAAGGGUUUGUUACUACUGUAUAACUUUAUGUUACUAGGCAGGAGGUAAAUAAUAACAUGCCUAUGCCAUAGCUGGAUUUGCAAGUGUUUACAGUAAAACUUAUGAAGUUUAAUUUCAUUCUUUCUUCUCUUUGUAGAGCAAGCAUCCAAAUGAAGUUAGUUCAACCAAAGAAGAUUUAAAGCCAUUUCUGUGUAUUAUAUUACCAACAGCAGCCCUGCUUGUUAUAGGUUUCUUUGUGUUGUUCCUUUAUCGGAGAUGUAGACGUAAGAUCCCACAGGGACAAAUCUUUGCCAUAAGUCUCCAGGAGAAUAUACAAGACAGGGAAAUUGACUUCUUUUCUACUCUGCCUUGGAGCAUGGAGCCUUUUCAAUAUUGUACACUGGUACCUGAUGCUUCUUUCUUAACAAUAUGCUUACCUCCACCUUAUGAAGAGGCAAUUUUAAAGACAUCAAGUGACUCUUGCAUUAGUAUAUGUCCUGAUCCAUUGCCUCCCUAUGAAGAAAGGCCGCGCAGAUCAAGCAAAUAAUGUCAAUUCACAGUUUAUAGCCUUAGAGCUGGGCUUCAGCUGGACCUGCAAGUCCAAAGACAAAUCUUUGUUUUGCAGCUUAAAAUCUUUAAGGGCUUUUUAUACAUUAUGUUUUCAAAAAAAGGAAAAAAGACAUUAAAAGAAUAAUACACGCAUGGUCCAUACAUGCGCAAGGUGGCUGGUACCUUUUAUCUGUUGGCAAGAGUGUUUUUUCCAG